GAUGGUAGAGAUUGAAAGACUCGGGACAUGUUAGUGGCUACAAUGGAGUUACGGAAGAAGUUAUUUUGCUAUUUUGUUUUUCUUUUGUUUUGUUUCCUUUUUUUUUUUGGGUUUUCUCAAAGGUCUUUUUUUUAUCUUCAAAAGUCAUAUGGCAUUUUUUAGUUCGUCCAUUUUGCCACACUGUUGUGCAUGCAGCUCACGUGGCUGAAUUUACUUAGGCAUUUUACAUGAGGCAUUUAAUAUGUUUACAUUAUUGGAGUUAGAGUAUUCAAUAGGUGCUAACCUAAGUUUAAGGUGUUAAAAUAAAAACUGAAGCCAAGUUUAAGUGGUUGUCUAGGUAUUUAGCCUUUACUAUACCUUGCUCUUUAGGGUCUAUUAAUUAUAAGUCUUUAUGUGAUUCUGGUACAUUAAUUAAUCUAAUGCCUUUGCUAUUUAUAGGAAGCUGGAGAAUGAGAUUGAAGAGAUAAGGUUUGCACCAAUAUCUUUGCAGCUAGUAGACCAAACGACUAUAACACCCGAGGGGAUAGUGGAAGAUAUCUUAGUGCGGGUGGAUGAGUUCGUAUUUACUGUAGAUUUUAUAGUGGUAAAAAUGGAGGAGAACAAGGAGGCCCCCUCAUCUUAGGAAGACCAUUCUUAGCAAUGGGUAGAGCUAUAUUAGAUAUACAUGAAAGAAAACUCAUUUUUAGAGUGAGUGAGGAGAAAAUGACUUUCAAGAUAGAUGUAGAAAUGGGGGUGAAAAAGGAGAAUCCAAUUGCAAGUGUUGAGUGGAAGGUGAAGGGCAUGAAAGAGAAGGCAACAUUGAGUGAAAAACAAAAGUGUGGGGUGUACCCCAAGAAGUUGAGAAGAAGUUGUCCGCAUGGAUGUGUGCACGAGUUCGGGCGUGAAGAAUAGAUCCCGACUUUGAUUCAGAUCCUGACAAAAUAUUCAGGGAAGUUUUCGCUACCAUAUACUUUUUAAUUGUGUGUCAUGGGGAUAUACCACAACUUAAAAUGUGGGGUGGGGGAUAGUUGUAUGUUGUAUGUAUAUUAGUUAGUUUUGCUUUUGUUAGUGUUAGUAGUUAGAUAUAGAAAACAAAUGAAAAAAUAUAAAAAAAUUGACUUUUUCCGAUGAUGGAUAUCAUAACGACAGGUUUCUUGAGGGAUUAAAGUCGAAGGAAAAAGAACAUAAAGAUUUUCUUUUGUUAGGUAGUGUAUUAUUUUCCCUUGGUUUUUUUGGGUCGUGGUUUUUUUUCCAAGGUUUUUGUUUAAACUGAGUGUAGUUAGUUUUUAUAUUUGUUAGGAGUAGGGAACCUUGUGCUAUGAUUUGAAUUGAAGCAAUAUCUCUUGACUUUGUUAUACCUUGAGAAUAGUGAGUACUUUAGUUGUGACGCUUAGGCUCAGUUUUUGACUCUUGUAUAAGUACCUUAAAUUGUAUGAUCUUAACUUUGUUUAACUUCUUUGACUAGAGUGUCUUGAUGAGUCCAAUCCUGAGUGAGUUAUGUGCCAUGUGUAUGUGAGGUUUUGUGUUAUAUGCAUUGCAUUUGAUGUCUAAAACUUGCCCUGUGUGUUUGCAAAGUAAAAUAGUAGUUUUAUUUAGUCUUAAAAGUGAUAUAGGCAUCUCUUGUGAGCCAGAUAUAUGUUUUACCCACCUAAUUGUGAAGUAUCUAAGUUAACCUCUUUGAGCAUGUAAUCAUGUUUUCUUUGGCAACCACAUUUCAAGCAUUACCCAUUUGUUUGAAUUUACUAUUAAUUUGAACUUUGUACCUUUCGUGAGCACUUGAAUUUAUAGUUGAAGUGUGGGGUGGUUGAUUUGGAUUUUGUAAAAGUUGAAGGUGCAAUAUUUUAAAAAAGUAAGAGCCACUUGAAUUAAAUAAGAAAAGAGAAAUAUAGUUGUAUUGAUGUGCAUAUAUUCGUUGAUAGUGGUAAAUCUUGAUGUAAUUAUGCUUAUAGAAGUAGGAAGUUAAUGUAUAUUGAUGUGAAGGUGGAGUUAUGAUUUGACAUAAGUGUGGGGUUUUGAAAGGUAAACUGUAUGUAUUAAAGUGCUUAGGGAGGUGUAGUCACUCUUAUAUCUAAAUGUAUCCUACCCGUCUCGCAGCCUACAUUACAACCACUAAAGUCCUAAUUGAACCUUGACUGAAUAAGCUCAAUUAGUAGAGUAGUACAGUACAUUACGGGCAAGCUUAUGAUGCAUCUUUUGUGGCAUAUGAAUGUUGUUUCUGAUAGUGAGCGAAUUCUUUCUCUCUUGAGUUCCUAAUUGUUCUUAAACCUUAUUAUGUUUGGAACUACUCUCUAUUGUUGUGUGAUGGCACUUGAUUCAUGAAGGAAAGGUAAUAUCAUUGACAUUUAUGUUAGAGUAAGUGAGUAAGUUAUAAAUAAUGUGUGGCACUUGUGAGUCAAAUCUUAAGGCGAGGAUGUUACACUAUUGUGCUUAGUCUAUUUUAAAUAUUCUUGGUAUAAUGAGUUAGGAGAGUUGUUGAAAAAAGGUCGUGUCUUGAUAAAGUGUAAUUUGAUUGCUCGAGGACGAGCAAUGAUUUAAGUGUGGGGUGUUGAUGGUAGGCUAUAAUCUCAUAUUUUAGUCGCUUAUUGCACUCUAAUUCACUGUACUUUUAUUGUGCUUGAGCUUUAAUCACUAGUAUUUUGUACUAAUUGUGUGUUUUAUGCCUUGUAGGGGUGAUUCCGAGUGAUGUAGAUGUUAUGGAGCUAAUUUGAGCUAGUUGGAGCUUUAAAGUCUGAGUAAAGUCCCAAAGGACUAUGCAAGGAUCGCGCUCAGGGGUCGAAAACCAUGUCUGGACUUCAAAAAUCAAGCAAAAAAAUAGGCUCUAAGAAAUCUGCACACGCACUGCGGCUGUCCAUUUUUGCUGCCUUGACAAAUUGCUAGCUCCCUGAUAAAUUCCAUUGCUGCCCCACCUGGCGCGUCACCCCAUGCGGCCCUACUUGGUAUAAAUUCAAGGUAAAACAUUAUUUUUGUGACUUUUGACACAUAUUUGACCUAAGGAAGCUAAGGAGGAGUUGGAGGAGCAAAAGCACAAGGAAUUCAUCAUUCAAUCCUCACUCAAGACACGAGUUUUGAACGUUUUAUAUUUUCCUAUACUUUAACAUAUUUGUGAUGAAUUACUCCAUGUCUAUGGAGUAGUUUACUUUAGGGUUUGCUGGAUUUGGUGUAUUGAUGAUUCUUUGUGGAUUAUAACUCUAGUUUUAUUAUUGAAGAGUCAUUGGAUGAUUUAAUUGUUGCAUCUAUACUCACAUGUUCAUGUAAUCGAGAGAGGUAUAACUUGUGAUAUAUUUAGCAACAAUUGGUAGUACUUAGAAUUAUAUGGCUAACAUAUAGGAUUUCGGUACCUAGUAUGUCCUAAAACUAAUAGGAUUACAUUGGUAACGACGUCCAAAAAAGGUAACUAGAUAAGAAUAUCAAAGGAGAUAUUGUUCCAAAAAUGAUGAGGAUAUUGACUGCAAAUAUACCUUCGGUGAAAUUAUACUUAUGCAUCAAAUAUAAACAAUCUCCAAUUCAAGUCAAUAUCUCCUUUGACUUGGAACUUUGACAAGUCAAAGGAGAUAUUGUUCCAAAAAUACGUUCAAAUGGCAUCAUUUUUGGAACAAUAUCUCCUUUGAUAUCCUUCCUAAAGAGGCUUUUAUAACAUGCCUUAGACAGUAAAUUUAUCCUCAUUAUCAACCUUCGACAAUAAUGAAUCAGCCACCUGAUCAUCAAGAGAGACAGGUUCCAACAUUUAUGCAAUCAAUCUCCCGGUUUUUGCUCUUUAUUUAUUAGAACUACAAAAUAUAAAUAUACUGAAAAUUACUUUCAUACAAAUUUAAAAGGAUAUUCUUUAGUUCCGUAAUAAACACAUACUUAAAAGCACAUUGAUAGUAUCAUAAGUUCUACUAAUUAAAUAAAAAGAGGAACAAAUUAAAUUUAUUAAGAAAUAAUAUAGAAGAAGAAAGGAUCAUUUUUUACAGACAAGAAAUCGUUCAAUGUUUGACCUAUUCUUGCUCUCAUAUUCUUUUUGUUUGCUGAAUCUUUUUCAUUUGAUGCUAUAAAUAUAAUUCACUGAAUGUAUAUUUGCAGUCAAUAUCCUCAUCAUUUUUGGAACAAUAUCUCCUUUGAUAUCCUUACCUAGUUACCUUUUUUUAGACGUCGUUACCAAUAUAAUUCUAUUAAUUUUAGGACAUACUAGGUACCGAAAUCCUAGAUGUUAGCCAUGUAAUUCUAAGUACUACCAAUAGUUCCAAAAUGACAAAAGGAGACACUGUAAAAGCUAGCUUGCCAAGUUAUACUUCUGGCUCAAAUGAAAAAGAUUCAACUAACAAGAAAUAUAAAAUAAGAACAAAUCCAGUAUUUAGUGUCUUCUUGCUUUGUGUCGGAAAUGGAGAAGAGCAUCCAAUAAAAGAUGAUUUGGUUCUUUCUGAAUAUUUGGUUAUCAAUCCCAAUAAUGAUAGUAGUGCAUUUAAUAAGAGAAAUAUUUCUUACAUAUAUUAGUGUCAUCGUUUAUAUAAUACACUAAAUUUAAAUUAAUCUUCUAUUGUAUAUAGGUUGAUUUUGAAGAAAAAUAUGCCUGUCAUGCUGCUGAAAAAUUUAGAUACGCCGAAUAGCUUAUGUAAUAGCACACAGAUGGUAUAUAGAAGUUUUUGACAAUAACAUCAUACAUGCAAAAAUAAUGAUACUGGUCAAUGUGCUUCUAAGUAUAUUCUUAUCCCUGAAUUCAACUUUGGUCUUCCGAACUAAGGAAUAUCUUUUUGAAUUUGUGUGAAAAAAAUGUUUAGUAUGUUUUCUUAUCACGCCGUUAAUGUUAAAGCACGAAGGGUUACUAAUAUUAACAACAACAACAACCUAGUAAAAUCCCACUAGUGGAGUUUGGGGAGGGUAGUGUGUAUGCAGACCUUACCCCUACCCCGAAGGAGUAGAGAGGUUGUUUCCGAAAUACCCUCGGCUCAAGAAAACAAAAGGACAAAAUGAGAGAAUAUUAGUUUCACCACAGAAAUCAUAGGAAAAAUAGGAACAACAUGAAAUCCAGAAGAAGGAUGCAAAGCAAAGGUGAUGGCUAGUAAAUAGGUCCUAUAUUGAAAAGUGAAAUAGUACGACACAACAUUGCCACUAGCUAUAUUAGACAAAAAACGUACCAGACUAGGCUCACAAAGGUACAAAGUAAGGCAAGACUCAACUACCUCCUAACCUACAACCCUAAUACUCGACCUCCACAUAUUCCUAUCAAGUGUCAUGUCCUCGAAAAUAUGAAGCCUCGCCAUAUCCCGCCUGAUCACCUCUCCCCAAUACUUCUUAGGCCGCCCUAUACCUCUUCCACAACCAGCUGCUCACACCUCCUUACCAGAGCAUCUAGGCUUCCCUCUGAACAUGCCUGAACCAUCUGAACCCCGCUUCCGGCAUCUUGUCAUCAAUGGGAGCCACGUGCACCUUCUCUCGAAUAUCAUCAUUCCUAAUCUUAUUCAUCCUAGUGUGCCUGCACAUCCGCCUCAAUAUCCUUAUUUCAUCUACUUUUAUCUUUUGGAUAUGUAAGUUCUUAAAAGGCCAACAAUCAGUCCCAUACAUCAUUGCUUGAAACCCUUAGACUUAAGAGCAUGUCUCCAAACUUUCAGUCUCUCGUUAACACCGGCUCGCAAUUCAUCAAUUAGAACUAUGUCAUCGACGAAUAGCAUGCACCAUGGCACUUCCCAUUGAAUAUGGUUUGUCAACACAUCCAUCACCAGGGAGAAUAAGAACGGACUGAGCGCAGAACCUUGGUGUAACCUCAUUUCAACCAGAAAAUGCUCAGAGUUGCCUCCUACUUUCCUAACUCGAGUCUUAGCCUCAUCAUACAUGUCCUUAAUCGCCAUAAUAUGGGGAACCGGCACACCUUUUACCUCCAAGCAUCUCCAGAGAACAUCUCUAGGAACCUUGUCAUACGCUUUUUCUAGGUCAAUAAACACCAUGUGCAGAUCCUUCUUCCUCUCUCUGUACAGUUCCACCAACCUCCUAACAAGGUGUAUAACUUAUGUAGUAGAACGACCCGGCAUGAACCCGAACUGGUUGUCGGAUACAGAUGUUGAUUUUCACGUUCCUUGGUGAAUGCAAAAUAUCUUUUUUUUUAUGUAUGUCGGCAAAAGAUGAUAUCAACAACUACUACCAGAAAGAAUAUUGUAUAAAUACCAAAUGGCCUUCCACUACACAAAUUCAUUAUCAAGUUUAUUAUCUCUUUUGUAUAUUAGUAUCAUGUAUGUAUGAAACAGACACCAAAAAUAUUUCCCCGCCAAUAGUCAAAUUUGUAAUGGGUUAGGUUCUAACUCUCUAAAUGCUUAAAGAGUUCCUAUUUAAUUAGGAAUCAUUACAGAUUUAAUUUGUAUAGAUUUCACCUCAUUCCUUCUUCCUCUUCCACUCAGCCAUAGUUAAAUCUUUGAAAGCUAACCGUCAAAAUGCAUACUUUGGGAAGUUUUUAAUUCUUUUUGACAGCUAAAUUCUUUUAUUUUCUUUUACAUGGUUUUGGUUCUCUUUGAGUCUUCCUAUUAGGUUUUUAUUUUAAAAAAAAUUGGUUGUUGCUUUAACUAGACAAUUGAAGAUAAUCUUAAUUUAAAAUGGGAUUGAUCUUGCAUCGCAUACAAGUUAAUUUAAAGAAAAUGUGCCCAUAAUGCUACUGAGACACUUAGAUCAUCAAACGAAUUAUGUAAUGGUACAAGAAUGAUAUGUAGAGAUUUUAAUAAUAACAUCAUAUAUGCAGAAAUCAUGAUGGAUCAAUAUACUUCCAAGCAUAUAUUUAUCCCCUGAAUUUAACUUUUGCCUCUAAGAAAUGAAAGAUAUCCUUUUAAAUUUAACUGAAAAUAAUUUUUAGUAUGCUUGAAUUUUGCAGAAGGGGAGGCUUGGAGCAAUAGUAAAGUGUUCUAUGUAUGUCACGAUCCAAAAUUCACUAGUCGUGAUGGCACCUAAUCUAACCCGCUAGGUAAGCUAAUUAACAAUUAUCUAUUUUCAUUUAACUUAAUAAAACAAUUAAACAAAGGAAUUAUCUAAAUUUUAUACUUUUCCCAAGGACUGGUAUUACAAAUCAUAUGCUUCUAAGAAGGGAGUUUACAUAGCUGAUAUGAAGUAAAUACAUCUUCUGUUUGAAAAGUACAUAAACAGAGUUUUAUAGUCUAAGGCUACCAUGAACAAUAGGCAGCUACAACAGGGACGCAGGUACAUCUUCCAAUCAAGAUUUCGUCGAACACUGCAAUAUCGACAUCUGAAAUAUGCACGCAAUGUGCAAGAAGUGUAGUAUGAGUACAAUCGACCCCAUGUACUCAAAAAAGUAACAAACCUAAACUUAGGCUGAAAGCAAUGACGAGCUGGAAAAUACGUCGGGUCCAGCACCAAUAACCAAUAACAGUUCAUAACAUCGUAGAGCAUAUAUAAAUAAGGAAGUAACUCAGAGACAAAAUAAUUAGCUUUUCACAAUUUUUCGAAACAGUUCUGCUUUUCAAGUACAUCAGUGAAAAUCAAAAUCCUUUAACGAAAUCAUCAAGAAUAUGAGUAAGUUUAAAAACUAUAACUUUUUCCCAAAAACUUUUCAUCACGUAAAUGUUUCAUUUUCAGAUAGCAUGAAGAAAGUACAUAUCUAUGCCUACAUGUCAAGAUACAGGUAAAAAUCAUGAAUGUCACCAAAACCUAGCAGCAAAAGCAAAUGCAUCUCUAUGCAUAUAUAUCAAGUACGCAUGUCAAAUGCAAUGUCUCUCAGUGAUGAACUCAUGUACUCACACUCUCAGAGUACUCAACUUCACCGUCUCACAUUAUCUCUUCCUGUGAUCAAUACUCAGCAUACUUAACACUGUACAAUACUCGUUGCGGCGUGCAACUCGAUCUAUAUAUAUAUAUAUAUAUAUAUAUAUAUAUAUAUAAGGCUCAUUGCGGUGUGAAACCGGAUUCAUAUACAUAUAGCCAUAAGGUUCGUUACGGCGUGCAACCCGAUCCAUAUACAUAUAUAUAGUCGAAUGCGCUCACUAAGGUGUGCAAACUCCGGAGGGGCUCCUUCAGCCCAAGCGCUAUAUCGUUGCGGUGCACAACCCGAUCCCAAAAGUGUAAUCAAUAUAACAUGUUGCGUCGUGCAGCCCGAUCCCAUAAUAUCACUCUCACUUAGGCCAUGGGCCUCACUCAGCCAUCAAUCCCUCCAAUCUCACUCACGGGCUCACAAUAUCAUGAAACUAGCCCGACAAUAAUGAUAUGAUGUAUCAAUAAACAACAACUGAGAUUGAGAUAUGAUAUGAAUACAUGAAUAUGAUUGAGUACGAAAUAUCAAUAAAAUCAGUGAGAUGACAGCAAGGAAUGACCACUAUGGGCCCUAACAAUAUCAGCAUAAAGCAUAAACAUGAUAUCUAGCAUGAUUGACAGCUCAGUUACUUAAUCACAUGGUGAAAAUACAGAUAUCAACAAAAUAGGGCCACUAUCCAAUGCCCUGGACACAACAGAGUCACAAUUCACAGGGUGCACGCCCACACACACGUCACCUAGUAUGUGUGUCACCUCAACAUCAAUCGCAUAUCACGUAAUCGGGGUUUCAUACCCUCAACAUUAAGUUUAGAAGAGUUACUUAUCUUAAACAAGCUAAUUCUAACGUCGAGCAAGCCAAGCGAUUCUCCAAGGAUGCCAUCACGUGCGUAGCGACCUACGAACGACUCAAAACUAGCCAAAAGCAACUCAAAUACAUCAGAUAAAGCCCAAGGAAACAACUUCAAAUGAUAAAGAUCAAAUUUUACAUCAAAUCUCAAAUCCAACCAAAAAUUACACCCGGGCCAUGCCUCGAAACUCGACAAAACUCACAAAAUCCUACAACUCAUUCAAUUACGAGUCCAACCAUACUAGUUUAACUCAAAUCCGACUCCAAACCGGUGUUCAAAACUCAAAAAUUCAUAUUAUGAAACUUUAGGCCAAAACCCCUAAUUUUUCUCUUUCAAUUCAUCAACCAAUUGCUAAAAAUGAAGAUGGAUUCAUGGAAUAUACUCAAAAUUGAGUAGAGAACACUUACCCCAAUCUUUGUGAUGAAAUUUGCUCCAAAAUUGCCUCAAUCUGAGUCUCACAUCUCAAAAUAUAAUGAAAGAACAAAACCCUCGAUUUUUAUAACUCUGCCCAGCACUUUCGCAUCUGCAACCUUCGCUUUUGCAGAAAAGGGCUCGCAUUUAUGAGAUAAACCGUUUCUGCGAUAGCCAUGACCGCAUCUGCGGUUACGCUUCUGCGAAAAUACCUCCGCACCUGCGGACCUUCACUCCUCAAUGAAAAUUCGCAUCUGCAACGAUUGGCUCGCAUCUACGGCCAUAGAACCUGCACAAACCAGCCGCAGGUGCGGUCAUACCAGAACCAAAAAUCUUCAGCAAUGCAACAUUAAAUGAAAAUGAUCUGAAACUCACUCGAGCCACUCGGGACCCCGAACAAAUAUAUCAACAAGUCCCAUAACAUAAUACGGGCCCACUCGAGGCCUCAAAACACACAUAACAACAUCGAAAUGACGAAUCACACCUCAAUUUGGAAUCAUUGAACUUUGAAACUUCAACUUCCACAACCGAUGUCGAAACCUAUCAAAUCAUGUCCAAUUGACCUCAAAUUUUGCACACAAGUCACAUUUGACGUUACUGACCUGCUCCAACUUUCGGAAUCGGAAUCCGGCCCCGAUAUCAAAAAGUUCACUCCCAGUCAAACUUUCCAAAAUCCCAACUUUUGCCAUUUCAAGCCAAAUUCUACCACGGACCUCCAAAUCACAAUCAGGACGCGUUCCUAAGUCCAAAAUCACCCAACGAAGCUAACGGAACUAUCAAAAAUCCAAUCCGAAGUCAAAUACUAAAAAGUCAAACUUGGUCAAACCUUUCCAAUUUGAAGCUUCUAGCUGGGAAUCAUUCUUCUAAAUCAAUUCUGAAUAACCUGAAAAUCAAAACCGACGAUUCACAUAAGUCAUAAUACAUCAUACGGAGCUACUGAUGCCCUCAAACAAUCGAGCGAAGUGCAAAUGCUCAAAACGACUGGUCGGGUCGUUACACUGUAUAACCUAUAAGUCACGGAUUCAGGCCGUGAAAGCAGCCAUUAAUACUUACAUUAGGUUAGUUAUGUACAUCACACUCCUUGGGUAUGUCCCUUCUCCAGACUAUGCGUGAAUGAGGGAUGUUUUGUAUACUGAACUAGCCUUUUUUAUGAUUAUGUUUUGUAAUGACAAUGAUAAAGGACAAGGGCAAACAAUCCAAAUAUUGGAUUAUAUUUGCUGCAAUAUAUUUUCUUGUACGGAUAACUAUAUGGUGCACUUUCAAGAGGAAUAUCAAUAUCGACGAAAAAAGUUCUAGUUAUUAUGGAGCAACCAAACUGUUAGAAGGAAACAUACACAUACAAUAACAUUUACAAAGAAUUUUUUCAUAAAAUAUCACCACAUUGCAUAUUUCUAAAUUAUAAGUAGAUAGUCAUAUUAUCUAACUAACAUGAUAAAACCAAUCAUUUUUGCAGGUUCAAAUAAUGAUGUCUAAUCACUUUGAAUUUACGUAUUAUACCAAUACGUACUAUUAUUAACGUGCAACACAUGUUCGUAGAAAUUAGUUCCUUAAAUAUACAUGUAUCGACUCAAGCUCAAAGAAUCCUACAAUAAUUGUAGAAUGCACUUUUACAAGUGAAGUUAUAUCUCAAAUCUUAGCUUGUAGGCAUAUGUAGUAUCCUCUCUUGUGUUAUACUUAAGUAUUCUUUUUCUUUUUUUUUUUUCAUUUGGUUUAUUCAUUCAAAUUCCCCAAAUCUAACAAAUUGAAAUCCUUGAUCUACCUUUGUCAUUGUAAGAUUUUAUAUAAUUAAAACUAUAUAGCAUAAUUCAAUGAUUUCAGUAUUUUUGAUAUGGAGUAUAGGUAUAUAUGUUAAAAAUCACUAAAACUGCAAGAAAAAAUAAUAAUUUUAACCUAUAAUUUUUAAUUGGUAAUGGAUUCAUGGUAAAAGCCUAAAGGUUGAACCCGUAAAAUAUAAAUUCUAGAUUUAUCACUUUGAAAUAGUGCACCCAUCUUCUUAGAAUCUCGAAUUCGCGUCUGGUCAAUCAUAAUCUUUUUCAUUAAUGAUAAUAAUUAGAACAAAAAACGUAGGCGUAAUAUAUAGAUCGGAAGUCAAACAUAGGAAGAGGUGCCUAUGGUUCGGGGCGAAACGAGUAACGAAAAAAUGAAUAAAUUAUCCGGUCCGAUCCAUAUUUAAUACGGAUAAAAAAUGGUUAACCGGCGGAUAAUAUGGGUAACCAUAUUUGUCCAUGACUUCUUGCAUAUGAUCAAUUUUGAGAGAAUUCUUAGUCUCUAAUUUGAGGAACACCAAUUUGAGGCUUUACAGAUGUAAAAGUUAGACCCAUUAAGUAUCUAUUGGUUAACUAUUUUCUAAAUGGAUAAUAUAAUUCUUAUCUAUAUUUGACCCGUUUUAAAAAAAAAAAUAUUAUCUAACUCAUUUUUUAAUAAAUAAAAUGGAUGAUUAAAUAUAUAUAUUUUAACCAUUUUGCCACCCGAUGUACCUUAGAAGUGGAAUUAGAAUAUGAGCAAACAGUGUAUUUCCAGUCAUAUGAAUAUAUUUAACUCUUCUUUUUUAACCCCUCUCAUAACCCAGAACAGGCCGAUUUCAAUGGCUGGAAUACAUAGACACCUCUUAACUUUUUAGUAAAAAUUGUUUAGACGCCUCAACUAGGACCAUGACCUAUCUACCGCUCGAUUGAAGUUUGCAGCAUAGCAGAGUUGUGGAUUUAGUAUGCAGAUUAGUUAAAACAGGGUAAGAUGGCAAAAUGCUCAAACACUUGAGAAAAGAGGUAUGUGAAGUGUUUCUGUUACAACAGUCAAUAUGUGAAGUCUUUAUUAAAAACGUAUUGCAAUACCACAUGCCCUUGAAAUUAGAUAAGUGUGUUUAACUCAGCUAAAUGUUGGUAGGGAAAUUGGAAUAGAUUUGUCUAAAAUUAAGAGUAACAAAUUGGAUUGGAUCAUUCAUCUCAACUUUCCCUGUGGAAUCAUAGAUUAGUGUGUUUAACUCAACGCAUGAGUUUAUUAGUUAAAAACCAUAGAAUUCUGUAUUAAUUUUGUCCUCAACCUAUGCUUCUUAGUUUACAGUUUCUUUCCUUCUUUAUAAGCUCUCAGUUUUCUUUAAGUAAUUAUUAUGUUCUUAGGUAAGUGGCCUACUGUGAUCGUGCUAGAAAUAAUAAAAUGAGAAUUAUGAAGACAAGUUAAUCAAGUUGUCACUUUUCACUAAGUGUCUUGCUUCAAGAAGGGGAUCUUAUCGCGACGUGUAAGAGUUGUCGCUGUGUGAAAAGGAAAUCAUGUGUUCUAGCCGUGCAAAGUGCAAACAACAUCUUGCAAAAAUGCAAAGUAAGGUUUUGAACAAUAGACCAAAUGUGUUCGGCCCCUCUCUAGACCCCACACAUAGUGGGAGGUUAGUGCACCGGGCUGCCCUUAUUUUUAUAUAUCUUGUUUCAAAAUUUCUUAACUGAUCAUGGGAUGUUUGGAAAUAUAACCUUUCUUUAUUAAUUUAGAUGCUAUGUUCUAGCAUCACUCUGGUGUGUUUGUCUGGCUCUUUCUCUAGGUUGGGCAUAAGUGUGUGUGCUUCUAGCUUGUAAAAUGUAAAAUCAAAAGCUGAUAACAGGAGAAUCUUAGUAGUCCAGUUGAUUGGCUACUUGAAUUUUCACCUUGUUGGUGGGGGUUCGAUUCCCCUCCUUGCAAUAUCUUCCCCCAUUUCCCCUUCCCCUCCUGCUAUGCACAAUGAAAAAAAUGAUAACAAUAACUAUAUAAGAGCUGUAACAUUACCGAGAUAUGGUGUGUUUCUCACGUAGAAAGAUGACCAUUGUGUCGUUUCUUCUUGACUUAUUAGUGAUGAUAUCUUUUUGAUUCCCUCUUCAAUUCAGUUCUAGGAAUUGGGUCUUAUGUGAACAACACAUACUGAAGAAGAUGAGUGAGUCUAAGAAUUGGUUGGUUAGUAGAAAUCAUGAUCUAAGGAAGCAAGGAUCAAAUGAGGGAUUUUUUCAAACAUGUAAACUUGAGAAAUUAGCUGUACUAAAAUUUGUUGCCGCUGGUAUGUUCAACUUGUGUGAUUUCAGAUUCAGCAAUCCAUUUAUGUCAUGUGACUUCAGAUUGAAAUACUAUUGGGAAUUCCCUUUCCAGUAAGUCCAGUAGUACUCUUGUCACCUGACGCGUUUGGGUACAGUAACGUAUAAGGCAUCUGUAUAGGUCCUUUUCGGUUCUUCAAUGUAUUGUCGUUGUUCCUAUCCAUUAUUCUGUUCUCGAUUUCUACCAGUUUGUCAUGGAAUCCCUCAAAUGCAUGUCGUGGUUUACUAUCAGAAGUCCAUUCAGGAGCAUCUCUUUGUCCAAGAUAAAUCUCAUCUGAAGAAUGCAUGGAUAACAUCUCUAUCAAAGAGAUGCCAAGAAGAGUUUGGAACUGGGCUGUGAUGGUCUUUAGGUAGGCUCGCUCAUGGUUUGACUCAAGCUCAACAUACUCAGGAGUGCCUGGCAUUGGCAUAAAGCGCCGGCUUACGGUUGGGCGAUUUGGGAGAUAACCAGCAUAAGGAUAUUGCCCAAAAUUAACUGCUGCAUGAAGAGCAGAAGCCACCCAUAUGAUUAUGGUGCAUGUUUGGACAAGCUCAGCUCUUGUCUGCAUCUGAGGCCACCAUGGUUCAUCUUUCAAGUCACCAUGACCCACGUUGCGAACUUCUGUCCACCAUGAUUGAAGUUCAGGAUCAUCUUGGAUCAUUUCAUCCGCUAUGUAAUAGAAUGAGCAAUACUCUUCCACCCAGGUUUCAAUUGCUGACCAAAUCUCAAGUCCAUCAACGGCGUAAGGAUAAUCCUCUAUCAGAAGUCUAAGGCCAUGAGGCUGGCUUGGGUCUGGUACUGCAACUCCUCUAUAAAUUAAAAAUAAUUGAGAGCAUUACUUGGACAAGAUGGAUAUGACAUUGAAUUUUAAGCUGUAACAACUAGUGACCUACCUCUUAAGUAGAUCUGCAGGGAGUGCCUGCUCAGUGAACACCCAAUUCUUAUAGAUGGAAGAAGACAUUUCCAUGGCAUACUUGGAUGGAAAUACUGUCAACUCAAGUAUUCCACCUGCAUUAAUGAGGAUCUGCCGAGCCAAAGCAUUGAUGUUCAUUGUAUCACGGAAGUGGGGAUGUAGAAGCUUAUAGAUUGGAUGAAGCACACUCAAUUGUCUGUUUGUUGCUAUAAUAAAUGGCUCUAAAGCUGCAUGGGUAUUCAACCUGCAAAGUAUGUAACAAAAUUAAUGUAGUGACUUCAAGAGGUGACCUGCUUCUAUAGUUUCUACCUUUUCAUCUGCUUUGUUAAGUAGCUCACCAGUGACUGACGAGCUGAUGAUACCCAGAAUCAUUUACAGCAACAUAGGCUUUAGCCAGAUGCCAGACAUAGCCUUCAGCACUCUCAUCAUUACAUGGGGUAAAUACUUGACUGCUGGAACCAUGUUUAUCUCCUUGUGGGUGUGGUAAGCUCAGUUCGAUUGCAAGUGGCUUCAAUGUUCCAUCAUCUUGGAGUAAAAGGAGGGUCCGACUAGCAUAGAUCUUAUUGGAUGUUGAGUUAAUCCGAUUAAGAUAAGGCAUAAGCCCGUCAUGAUAAUCUAAGAUGAAUAGCCUGUUAUACUUUAUUGCCUGUGACCACAAAAGAUAAAUGUGUAAAAUAUAUAGAAUCUAAAAUGGAAACAGAUGAAUAGUUUCCAUAUACAAAGGAUGCCUUGGUUUUCUCUUCCUUUCUUUAUGAUAAAUCACCAGAAAAAAGUUGGUCCUCAGAAAAAGAAAAAAAAAACAGAAAAAGAAAUGAAGAAUGAGUAUUACAUCAUCCACAGUUAGUCCAUCCAUGUAUUUCUCAAUCUGCUCUCUUGUGAUUUUACUAGUUUGGUUGCCAUAUACUUCAGGAUUUAGCUUGCUUGUGGGUGGAAAUUCCUGAUAGGCAUUUAGUCUUUUAGUAUCUGCAUUCAAAGAGUACAAAAACACAUAGAAAAGAUAAAAAAAUUCGUAAUUGAUAUUACCUGGAGACGCUGGAUAAUCACAGGAUUGACUCCAGCCAGCAUUUCACGUCCAAACUCUUCAUCUGUCCUCCAUGCAGAGUUAUCUUCUGUAUUUUUUUUUUUUUUGGGAAAGGGUUCACAAUUAAUUUACUUUUUCACCUUAGGAAGUACUCAGAGGCUAAAGUAGUUGUGGAGCCAGAGAAAGAGAACACAUAAGCACCUUUAAUUACAUGAGGAAUUGGAAAUUUAUGAAGUUGUCCUUUAAGCAUCUCCCAUGGCAUGCUUUCCGUGGAGUUAUCAGGAACUCGACCUUUAUAGACUUUUUGUACAUGUUUGAAGCUGUUAAACUCAUUAAAAGGUUUGGCUAACAGAGAUGCAAGCUGUGGAAUUAUGACCCGACCCAUUGAUUUGGCACCAUAUCGAAGGAAAUCCAUAAAUUUCACAUGGUUGAAACGUUCAUCUCGUGGAACAUAAAUGUUCAAACUCAGAAGUGGAAGCCGGCUCUCUAAGCUAGAAUCUGUAACAGCAAACUUAACUCUUUCAACAUGUUCUAUUAGUGGUUCUAAGACAACACCUGGAAAUAUGAUGACAUUAAUAUGUUUGCAGCCUAACCUCUUUUAGUCAGUGGACGGCCCGUUCUUCCCCUUCGGGGGUAUGGAUAAUCCUUUCCCCCACCAAGCACUGGUCGACCAUGUCCUAAAUCAUUGUAGACUGCAUAGUCGUAAACCCUGUCCCAUUCCUCGAGUUUGCCAGAACCUGUACCCUGAAGAUUAAUGAGCUCCUCAUUCCUGUAUGGCCGAAGGGGUUCUGGUGUGUUGCAUGGCAGGUAUGUCUGAUAACACCAAAAAUUAGAGAUUCAGUCUCUAUCAUGAUCCAUAAGUUUGAAUUAAAUCCUGUACGCACGACUUGGUUAAGAUUUAGUAUGUCAGUGUAGGUAUAAUGUGAGAUUAGAGAACUUCAACUAGUUUGGAUUGAGGAAUAGUUGAUUGAUUGAUAUGACAGUCUUAUUUUCAUCUAUAUAAAAACUCUAGGUUUACAUAGCCUUCUAUCCUGUCAUACUUUAGGACUGUCAUCAUAAUCCUGUAAGUCAGGAAGUUCAGAACUAUUUUGAAGAGGAACAUAUCUUAUUUAACUUGAAAAUGUAUUUUUUUUUUUUUUUGUGUAUCUGGGAAUCAUACAGUUAGGUUUAACCUAUCAGUAUGUAUUUUUUGCCUAGAAAAUUGAAGUGCAUCCUCAACCUUAGUGCUUUCUUCUGCAAUUACGUGUAAUAAGCUCUGCCAGUUCCUGUUGAGUGAUUACAAUGUUUUGCAGGCAUCAUAUAGAUUCCUGGAGUAAGGUUAAGAAAUAUGAAUACCUUGUUGCUAAAAAACACCCGAUCGUACUUGUAGCGAUGUGCUGGAUACACCCAAGAAUUGCAGACGAAACGAACUUCACCAUGUCCGGGAAUAUCUUCUAAAGCAACGGUCUUCAGGUAAAACUGGCUAUGAUGAUAGUUCUUUAUAAUGAAAGCACCUGGAACUCCUAUUGACUCAUCCAACUCAAAUGUAAUAUUGAAUGUAGCUUCUUCCACUGAUAUCCAAGUCUUGCUGGAUGUCCAGUCCAAAAUUGCUGGUUUUCCCACCUUCCCUUUUGAUCCAUUUCCUUUAAGAAUGAAAAAAAAAAAUUGUGCUUCAAUGUUACUGUACAGAAUAACAUACAUUCUGCAUUUAUUGCAUUAAGGCUUCCAAAUUAAUCCGAAGUAGUUGAUUUCAAACAUUUAAACGACUGCAGAGAAGGAACUAUCAAGGUUUUCUUAUGGUAUUUUUGCUUCUAAAUGGGAGGAAACCAGGGAAAUAAAACCUUUAGAUUUAUUCUGCUGCUUACUUUCGCAAAAUUUGUUGGUGAAAAUGGAAUAACCAGGCAUUCAGAAUUCAGGUAGUGGAGGUUCAGGAGUUAAAAUUUUGAAACUCCAGAAUAAGAGUUUGUUACUAAAAUGGCGUCGGAGGUUUAAUGAUUUUAACAAUGAACUAUGGAACAAUGUUAUAACCAUUAAAUAUAUGGUAAGAAUGAGGAGAGGUGCACUAACAGUGUAAGAGGUGUGUAUGGUGUAUCUGUUUGGAAGCCUACUAGGAGUCUAUGGGAAGAAUUUUAUGACUGUUUAAGCUGAAAGUUGGCAAUGGAAGAAGAGUGAAGAUGUGGUCAAAUAGGUGGCUAUGACACUUCCUUAAUUGAGCAGUUUCCAGAUCUUUAUGCAAUCAUAUCGAACAAGCACUCUAUGGCUGAUUUCUACUUUUAUUUAAGAAGGAACUUGGAUGACUGGGAGAUUGAUUGCAUAAAUGACUUCAUUCAACAGCUAAAACCUGUCUCUAUUUGAUGAUCAGGUGGCUGAUUCUUUGUUGCGGACGGUUAAGAAAAUGGUAAAUGUACUGUCAAAGUAAUGUUAUAAAAGCCUCUUGAGGAAAAUAGGUGGAAUCCAUGACUGUUGACCGUGGAAGAUAAUCUGGAAAUCUAUUGUCCCCGUAGAGCUGCUUGCUCCACUGCACUGUUACCAAGAAAAUAUGGUCAAUGUUCCGGAGCAUUUUUGGAGUCCAAUUGGUUACGCCAGGAAGAAUAAAACUUGCCUUACACAGCUCGUAUGCACAGCCAUUUGCUAGGGGCAGCAAACACUGCUGCAAUGCAGUUCCUACUUGCAUAUUCUGAAUACUUGACUAGAUAGAAAGCAACAGAUGUUUUAAUGAUAAGAGUGAUAACAUUGCAAAUGUAAUAUCUAGAUGCUGUACGGAUCUUUCUUUGUGGUGUGGGAAGAACAUUGUAUCUGACAUAAUAACUAACAAGUAUAAUAACUAACAAGUUUGUUUGCAUCUCUUUGCUCAGCUCUAGGGAGAAAAUGUAAAUUACCAGGAUCAGCAUGGACAUCACUAAUGAGCUCUAGGAUGACGCGUUUGCCAAAGAGCUCGUGCAUUCGAUCAAGGAAGGCAGAACCAGCAUCCUUGAAGUUCAAUACAUUUUUCUUCCUCAGUACAACUGUCCCCUUGAUCUUAAUGGAACUGGUUUGAUUGCUAGAAUUGCUUUCUAUUGGAACGUCAUGCUGCUUCCCGCAAACCAUUUCCAGCAUUUUCUCCAGUACCUCUGUACAACAUGGUGGAAAGAUCCCCAUUGAACAAAAUGGAGAUACAGAACAAGUCCUAAAGAUAUGUUUUUGAGUUGAAAUAAAGCAAAUGUAUCCUCUUUGUAUUAGUGCAACAACAGUGAUAGACUUUUGUGUACUAUUAUAGCUGCAGUAGACUUGUAUAUCGUUGGAAUCCCAACUUGGAUCAAUUGAGGCAUCCACGUUGGUGUUAAGAAAUUCUAAAUCUUAGCUGGACAAGUUUGACUUGAUCCUUCCUUGUAGAAAAAAAUAUGAUCCUGGUAAUAUAUUCACAGAGCUUGAAUGUGAUCAAGAUCCGGUUAACAAGCUUUCACUGUCUCCAGAUAUGUUUAGCAUUAGUAUAGCACCAACUUCUAAUAUGCUACCAUUUUUUAAUUGCAUGAACUUGUAACAGUGAUAUAUAUAUACACUUUACAUAUUAUUAGUUUUAAAUAUUAAAAGAAAAAAAAAGAAUGAAAAGUUGCUGCAAGAGUGAAAUGACUUGCUCAUGAUAAAUGAUUUUAGGCAUUACUUUCGAUAGAAAAUGAUCUUCUCAUGGAAAAACAUUUUCAAAAAGUUUAUUUCCGUAACUAAUUUGGGUUAACAAGACUUGGGUCAUCAUUUAUACAUAUUAUUGUCUGUCCAACAUGGAUUAAUUUAGGCGCCCACGGAUUGAAGGAUAUAAUAAAGGCUUGAUGUUGACUAGUAAUUUGUUGACCUGAUCCCUCAUUGGGCAUCACUCUGGCACUUUAAGUUUAAGUUAAGAAUUAAGAAUAAUAUAAAAGUAGUAUAAACCUUUUCACAUUGACUCGCAAGUAAAUAUUAGUUUGACCAAUAAAAGCUUGCUAUGAAUGUGAAAAGGAUGAAACAUAUCCCAAAGCUUUAAAUUAUUGUACCCCAUUAUUAGCUUACAAAUCAAGAUCCGCUUAACAAGCUGAUGAUAAGCUUUCACUGUCUCCAGAUAGGCUUAAUAAUAGUACAGCAGCCAUUUCCAUAAGUCCUAACAUGUAUGCUAUAUAUUCCACAGACCUCAAUAAACAUUAAAUUAUACAAGUUGCAACUACUUAAAAAAAAUGAAAGGGAAAUACAAGUUGCUGAAAAAGUGUUAAAAUUAAUGAAGAGAUGAAAGUUUGUAGAUAAGUUAUAAGUAGCUCCCAAAAUUGCUUUAACUUGGCUAAACAGGCUCUACUUAACAGCUCCCAAAAUUUUUAUUUGAAAUGGCAAGUGUGUUUGCUUGUUACUUUCCUUGAAAACAUUUUUUUCGUAACCAACUAUCAGAAAAUGACUUCCUCAUGAAAAAAUAAUUUUAGUUCUGUUUUUAUUGGAAAAUGACUUUCUCAUGAGAAAAUAUUUAAAAGUUACUUCAUUAAUUUGGAUUAACCGGACUUGUGCCCCAUCGAUUUUUCUUUUCGCUUUGCCAUUAUGAAUACUCUUAGAAUUCUCAGCGCUGGGUAGGAAAUUUUCAUAUUUUAUAAUAAAAUUAACAGAAAAGGUCCAAAAAUAUCUUUGAACUAUUCGAACUCAAAAAUAUCCUCCGUUUGUUUUUUAUGCCAAAAAUAUCCAUGCCGUCUAUGUUUUGGCCCAAAAAUGCCCCUAAAUUAGUUUUGCCAUUGAAGCUGACAUGGCAGUCCAACUGGGUUAGAAUUGCUUCCGUGGUCGUCCACCUAAGCAAUCCAUAUGUGAAAAUUAUUUUUUCGGAAAUUUUAUUUUUCCAAAAUUUCUUAAUAAAAUACAAAAUCAACAUUUAUUCUGAAAAAAGUAAAAAAAUUCGAAAAAAAUAUUUAUUUCGGAAUUUUGUAAUUAAAAUAAAAAAUCAACACUUAUUCCGAAAAAAGUAAAAAAUUUACGAAAAAAUUAUUCUUGAUCCGGGUUUAUGAAUUGAUUAAAAAACUCCAUUGUUUUUUUUUUUGUGAAUUUAUGAUUAUAGAUAUCGAGAAUUCAUAUAACCGGCCCAACUUGUUUAGGAUUAAGAAACCAGUGUCUUUAUUGUUGUACAAAUAAAGUUUUAAUUUUUUUCUUGUAAAUGUUGUGUGUUAAUUUUUUUUUUGGGGAGCUAAAGAAUGGGGUUGAAAUUAUACAUGGAUAAUGUUCCAAGACAUAACUACGCUAUUACUGGAUUCAAAAGCAUUCAAAGACAUAACUCCGAAAUUCAUAAAUUAAUCAUAAAUUCACAUAAGAGAACAAUGAAGUUUUUUUAAUCAAAUCAUAAACCCAAUCAACAAUAAUUUUUCAUAAAAUUUUUACUUUUUUCGGAAUAAGUGUUGAUUUUGUAUUUUAAUUUACAAAAUUCGAAAUAAAUAUUUUUUUCGAAUUUUUUUACUUUUUCAGAAUAAAUGUCGAUUUUAUAUUUUAUUAAAAAUUUCUGAAAAAAUAAUUUUCACAUANNNNNNNNNNNNNNNNNNNNNNNNNAUGUGUGUGAGAUACAUGCGUGAUACAUGUUUGAUGCAUGUGUUGCAGAAGACUUUUUUGAACUCGAUUUAAUUAAGAAUUUUGAUACAAAACCAGUCCAAAUCACCUCCAAUCUUCCUCAAAUUUUGUAUAUUGACUUAUCUAUAUAUUUUCAAUGAAUUUCAACUAUACCCAUUGAAAAAGUUCCUUUUUUGUUUAGAUUUUUGGAAUAUUGUAUAUAUUUUUUGUAUUUCAUCACUUUAUUUGUUACCUCAUCCAUAAAAUUUCCUUUCCGUCUUGUAUCUAGUGUUGCUAAUCACGCUUAAAAAUAUGAAAGGUGAUUUGUGCAUGUGAUUCUGUGAAAGAAAGAACCCUAUUAUUUGAUUUUUCAAUUUUUAUUGGUUAGUUUUGGUAAAUCUAUGAUUAAUGGCUAGAUGUUGGUAAGUUGAGAUUUAUUUGGGACAUUUGUAUAAGUUUCCCUUAAAAAUUCAUGUGAAUGGAUCUUUAGCCAUAUUCUGUCGUUGCACAAUAACUAUCAACUAUCUUCAUUGGCAUAGAUGAUCCGACAAUUACCACCGCAUAAUUAUCACCACCAACCACUUUCACUAUCAGCUACCAUCGUACAACCAUCACCAUCAACUACUUUCGCCAAUCAUCACUAAUCUCCACUAUCAACUACCUUUACCACCUGUUUUGACCACCAUGCAACUAUCAUCACUAACCAGUUUUAUCAUCAGCUAUAUCAUCUAAGUUGCUCCGACAUGGCAGUUUAGGUGCCGCACCCGUGUCCACACGACACUAGUAUGGAUGUGGGUACAAGAUCCGUACCAAAUUUGGUCAAACAAUUUUAGGUACUUUGACCACGACGGACGGAAUUCGAGACGAUAUACAAUAUGAUUCCCAAAAUCAAGACCAAACAUAGGGUAAAUUUGAAGACAAUAGUAUAUCUUAUCUAGGAAAUCAAUCAUUUACUUAUCUAACUUGAGAAUAAAAAAGAAAUUCACACUUUACAAGUUAUAUAUUAGUAUUCCACAAAACUUCUCAUAAUUUAGAGAUAUUUUUUUUAUCUUUUUUUUUGAAUUAUUUUUAGCCAGAUCCCCGCACCCGUAUGUUUAACCAAAAAAUAGAAAUUUCGGUCAAAGCCUAUUUUUAGAAGUACUCGGGUAUUGAUAAUCAAGAAAAUUAGUAUUCUUGCAAUAAGAAAGGAAACUGGAAUAUGAAAUAGCAAAGUAAUCAAUAAAAAGCAAAAGUAAAUAAUUGUAUUCCAAUAAUAAUCAGAACAUGUCCAUACAGAUGACAUUUCUUUCCUUUAUAUAGUAGACUUAAGUACAACGUCUUUUCCCCUUUUAUGAUUGAGUUAUUAUGAGAAUUAAUGACAUUAAUUAAACGUUAUAAUUAGUAAUCGUAACUGUUUUGUUAAGAUUCUGUAACGUUUGUAAUCAUCCAUGCUCAUUAAUUGGAGAUCAAUGAAUCUUUCCUUUUUACUGUCUCGACUCAUUCUGCCGGUACCUCUUCUUGAACGACCAUAUCUUCCCCUCUCGUGGGUGAUUUUCUUGCAUCUGUAACGACUCGUGCCUCUUUUAAUGCAUUUCUCCAACUAUCACUUUCUUGAUGAUCCACAUGUCUUGUCUUACUAGCCAUCACAUAAAUCCAUAUGUAAUAUUUAUUUUUACCAAUACAGAUAGUCCCCCCCCCCACUUGCCGAAUAUUCUGCAAUUGAAUAUUUGGUAAGUGGUAUGUAUUUAUGGCGGGAAUUUUCGCCAAUGUUUCACAUGUAUCAUUACGUCUUCUUCAAAACCAACACGUCAUCCGUCACUUCCAUUUAAUGCAUGUGCCACGUGGUCUUCGUUAAUUGGAUCUGCAACUCUUCAGCGAUUUCUAGGGCUUUUUUAUGGCUGCAUCAGUCAUGAAGUGACUGUUUCAUUAUGACGUUCUCAUCAUGACCCCUUUUACAUGACGGUUUCUUCUUCACAUAAAUACCUCCUUUGCCUGUGCUUUACGAAAAAAUUUCUUCAAUGUUCACAACUCACUCUUGUUCUUCAGUACAUACUACUUUUUCAUACAACUAUGUCAUCUUCAAAUUCUAAUCCUCGAAAAGUUCUCAUAGUAGACAAACUUCCCCUUUCUUCUACUCCUACUAGAAGUAGGAGAGGUGGUAGGUUGCGCAGUUUAGGGUCAAUUUCUGUACGUAGUUCUUCUUCUCAACCCAGUUUUACUCCUCCAUCGUCAACUAGGGUUUCUUCUUCACACAGAUCUUCUGUUAGAAAUAGGGAUUCUAGUGAACCACUUCGUGAACCCUCUGUUGAAGAGACCAUCCCUACUGAACUUUUCUUCUUUACUAAUAGAGAAUCGAUUAGGAAUCAAGUCACUUCCAUGACUUCUCAUGAUCGUGAUGAUGUUUACCCUUCCUAGAUUAAUGAGGGUUUGAUUUCUAUUAUGCGUAGAUACUGUCAUUGAAAAUUUGAUUUCCCAAUUCUAGUCCCCAAUGAGAAUCAAAGGAUCACUUCCCUUAAAGCUGGUUUUUCGUGUAUACAUAUCCCUUCACAUAAGAUUUUAGGCCACCUAUUAAUCCAAUUGUUAUUGAGUUUUGUCGUUUCUUUGAUGUGUGUUUAGGAUAGAUUGGUCCUAUUGUAUGGAGGGUUGUGGCAUGCCUUAUAUACUUGUCAAACUUGGCUGCUUUACCCUUCACCUUUUAUCAUCUGAUUCAUCUUUAUUCCCCCAAGUUAUUUCGUUUUGGGGUGUUUACUCUUGUGGCUAGGAGUAAGAGGGUUUUAAUAAGCCCCGAAGAAGACAAGGAUCGUCAUUGGUAUGCCCGAUUUGUUGUUGCUCCUACAAGUGGAUUAGUAGGUGAAGAAAACAUGUCCUUCCCUGAGAAGUGGAUCUUUGCAUGUAAGUUUCUCUUCCAAUCUUUUAUUUCUCUUCUUUUUUUUGGUGGAAAAAAUUGUACUCUCGUAACUAUUUUACUUUUCUUUUUCAGCAACCAUAGGAACUGUUGAGAAAAUUUCCAAUUUUCGUGGUUGGGUAGAAAAAUUGCUAAAAGUUGUUCCAAUGGAAGAAAGGUCCUGGAAAUACCUUUCAAACAGAUUUGGAUGGAAAGUUGAGACUUACGGUAACUUUCUCUUUAACUUUCUUCUCUAUUUUUGUGCUUAUCUUGGAACUCAUUAACCUUUUUCUUUAUUAGGGUUUCCCAUUUAGGGUGUGAGUGCUGCAUCAAUUACGGCUUCGAGGCUCUCUCUAUCAAAGGCUCAAGAGAUAAUCUUGAGUUCUUCGUCAAAAAAGAAAAUCUGUUAGACCAUAGAACUCUGAAGACGAAGAGGAACAUGACGAAUGCUCGUUGGUUCGUAAGCCACGAGCUAGAAGACAGGUCAUUUCAAAUGACAAAGCUACUCCCCCUUCUAGUUCUGUUCCCAUGCUCGAGCCUGAGAAUGCUACCUUAGUGAGUUUUGAUAAAGAGACGCCUGCAGUACCCCGUGGCCCUACUAAACAACUCUUUUCUCGUGGAUUUGAUAAAGAAAAUUUUGGCUUUAUUUCUGAGGAAACGCCUUUUGCCUCAGGUCUAAUAUCAUCAUCUAGUGUGGACUAGCUUUUUGCCUAUCAUAUAAAAUUAUUAGUAUAAUUUUAACUGUACAAAAUAAAAAUCGUAAUUGAGCGAUACCUGAUCAUGGGUAUUUCUUUUGCUUAGAAAUAAUACUUCUUCAAAUGAACAACAUUCCAACUCGAGGGUAGAACUUUGCCAUCCAUGGUUUCUAACUCGUAGCCACCUUUUUCCAGUGAUACCUCGAAUCUUGUAAGGUCCUUCCCAAUUUGGACUCAACUUUCCUACAUUGGCUGCUUUCGUUGACUGAAAAACUUUCUUGAGUACGAAGUUCCCAAUCUUGAAGUAUCUAAGAUGAGCUUUCCGAUUGUAAUAUCGCUCAAUAAUUUGCUUCCGCGCAGCCAUCCUUAUCAAGGCUAUUUUUCUCCUUUCUUCAAGCAAAUCGAGUAUUAUUCGCAUCUCCUCCUCAUUUGACUCUUCGGCUACUUGGGUGUAUCUCGUACUUGGUUCACCUAUUUCAACUGGAAUUAAGGCUUCAGCAUCGUACACAAGUGAAAAUGGUGUCUCUCGUGUACUCGUUUUUGUCAUUGUUUGGUAAGCACACAAGACUCCAGGUAACACUUUUGGUCAUUUACCUUUUGACUCCUCUAGCCUUUUCUUUAAGUUAUUAAUAAUAACUUUGUUUGUUGAUUUAGCUUGUCCAUUAGCCACAAGAUGAUAAGGUAUUGAAGUAAUGCUUUUAAUUUGCCAACUCUGAAAGAAUUCUGUGAUUUUCGCACCUAUGAACUGCGGGUUGUUAUCACAUAUGACUUCUUUUGGAACCCCAAACCGUUAUAUGAUGUUUCUCCAAAUGAAGUCCCUGACUUUUUUUUCUCGCACCUGUUUGAAGGCACCUGUUUCUACCCACGUAGUAAAAUAAUCAGUGAGUACUAAUAACAAUUGUACCUUUCCUUUGGCUUGUGGUAGUGGACCCACGAUAUCCAUCCCUUGCUUCAUAAAAGGCAUGCUGCAACAACCGGAUGUAAUAACUCUGCUGGUCGAUGCAUUUUGUUACCAUAUCUUUGGCACUUGUCACAUUUGGUCACAAAACUUUCUGACUCUUCUUCCAUUUUUGGCCAGUAAUACCCUGCUCUAAUUAGAGUUUUUACCAAGGAUCUUCCUCCUGCGUGAUUUCUACAAUGUCCUUCAUGUACUUUUCUCAUCACAUACUCUAUUUUAAAAGGUCUGAGACACCUUGCUAAAGGAGCACCGAACAUUUUUUGAUAUAAAUUGUCUCGAUCCAAACAAUAACGGGUAGUUUUUCGUCGAAGUACUUGAGCUUUUUUCUUAUCUUCAGGUAGAAUUUCGUACUGCAAAAAAUUGACGAUCUCGUCUCUCCAAUCCCAGGUGAAAUUAUUGAAAUUUACCUCGUUUUUAUCUUGGUUGAGUGCCGAAUGAAAUAAAUGUAUUAUGGAAGCAUUUUAUUCAUUUGUUACUUCUGCAAUGGAUGCAAGAUUAUCCAACGCGUCUGCUUCGACAUUUUCUUCCCUGGAUAUCUGCACGAUUUUCCAAGAUUGGAAUUGCUUGAUCAAAUCUCGUGCCUUUCCCCAAUAUUACUGCAUCCUCGCCUCUUUAGCUAUAUAAGUCACAUGCAUUUGAUUAACUACAAGCUGCGAAUCGCUUUUGAUUAUGACCUGCUCUAUUCCGAGCUCUCAUGCCAAUUCUAAACCUGCAAUCACAACUCAUAUUCUUCUUCAUUAUUAGUAAUAGGAUGACACUUUAUGGCUUGCCUUAUAGUUUCUCCCGUAGGUGGGAUUAGAAUAAUGCCUAAACCUGCUCCUUUAACAUUCGAGGAGCUAUCGGUAAACAGGGUCCAAGUACCUAGAUUAGACCCGUUAAAUACCUACAGUUCUUUUUCUGCUUCUGUUACUAUCCCUGGGCUAAAGUCUGCCACGAAAUCUGCUAAAACCUGUGACUUUAUCGCAGUUCUAGGUUGAUAUGUGAUGUCAUAUUAACUUAGUUCUAUGGCCUACUUGGCUAACCUACCUGAUAACUCUUGCUUAUGCAAUAUAUUUCGUAAGGGGUAGGUGGUCACUACAGAAAUAUGGUGACAUUGAAAAUAAGGCCUUAAUUUUCUAGAUCCCAUAAUUAGUGCUAAAGCAAGUUUUUCUAAAUGAGGAUAUCGAGUUUCAGCAUCUAGUAAGGACUUGCUAACAUAAUAAAUUGGAGAUUCUUUACCUUUAUCUUCUCGAACUAACACUGCACUUACCGCCAUUUCUGACACAAUGAGAUAGAUGAGUAGCAUUCAUCGUUCUUUGGUUUAGCCAGCAACAGUGGGUUUGACAAGUAUGUUUUCAGAUUUUUGAGCGCUUGUUGGCAUUCUUUAGUCCACUCAAACUCAAAUUGGCUUUGCUUUUUCAAUACUAAGAAGAACUUAAAUCUUUUCUCUGAAGAUUUAGAAAUAAAUCUUCCUAAUGUUGUUAUCCUACCUGUCAACCUCUACACUUCUUUUUUGCUCGUGAGUAUAUCCGGUAUUUCUUCAAUGGCUUUAAUCUAUACUGGAUUCACUUCAGUUCCUCGGUUUGAAACUAGGAAACCUAAAAACUUACCUGAAGACAUGCCAAAUGCAAACUUUUCGGGAUUUAACUUCACAUUGAAUUUGCGGAGAAUUUGAAAAGUAUCUGACAAAUGUUGGAUGUGAUCCCCCGCCUGUGCCGACUUGACUAACAUGUCAUCAAUGUAGACUUCCAUGGUUGUACCUCAUCCUGAGUCACUUGGUUUUUGAAGGAUCUUUGCUUCAUUUUCUUCUAUUUGACAGGUGGAUACGUUGGAUCUUCAUUUAGCUUAUGGGUCAUCACCUCUGGUAGUAUAUCUGUCAUAUCUGAAUGCAACCAAGCAAUGCAAUCUGCGUUAGCUUUUAGAAAUUCAAUUAACUUACUUUUCAUCUCUAGGCUGAGGUUGGUUCCGAUGUAAACUUUUCUGUCUGGCUAAUGUAUAAACAACACCACCGCUUCGAGUUCCUAAAUUGUUGUUUUGAUGUUUUCGUUCUCUUCUAGCUCUUGAGUAGUAUCAUGCCUUGAGUCUACAUCUGUUUGUCCAUCUUCGCUUAAGAUUUGAGUUGGUAAACCCUCAACCGAAUUCUGUAAUUGCUAUUUCACAUCCACAACGUCAUUUUGUAUGCUUGAAUCUGCCACUGAAUUGAUAGUUUUAGAAGCCUAAUUAUCACUGCGGAUUUGCCUAAUUCCCCAUUGUGAAGGGAACUUAAUAACCUGAUGUAAAGAAGAUGGAACAACAUCCAUCUCGUGAAUCCAAGGUCUGUCGAGGAUAAUAUUGUAUGCCAUAUCCAUAUCUAUUACUUGAAUUUUUGCAUCUUUAACUACUCCUUCUGUGAAUGUGGUGAGUAUUAUCUCCCUUUUGUGACAGUACUUGAAUUGUCAAAUCCAGAUAAGGUACGUGUUUUGGAUAUCAAUUUGUCAUCAGCUUGCAUUUUUUACCACUCUUAAAAGAAUGAUAUUUAUAUAGCUACCUGGAUCAAUCAAAACUCGUUUCAUAUUAGUAUCAUGUACAAGUAAAGAUAUUACCAGUGCAUCAUUGUGUGGGAUCAAUGCGCCAUCUGCGUCUGCAUCAUCAAGUGUUAUACUAUCUUCUUCUAAAACUUGACGAGCUCGUUUCCCGUGGGUGACUGUGAUUUUCGACACCUACUUUGCAGCCGUAUAUGUCACGCCAAUGACCUCCUCCCCUCUGCUUAUGACAUUAACUGUUCUUUUUGAUGACAGAGGUUUUGGUGACUCUUGUCUAUUCUUCAUAUAUGCUUACUUACCCUUCUCACUAAACAAAUCGGUUAAGUAUCCUUGUUUUAAUAAGUUCUCUACUUCACCUUGUAGCAAUCUGCAAUCUGUUGUUUUGUGACCGUGAUCUAAUGAAACUCACACCAGAAAUCAGGGUUUCUUCUAUUUGGGUUCGAUCUCAUUUCUUUUGGCCACCACACCUUAUCUCCCAUGCUUCUUAAAAAAAGAUACCAACUCAGAUGAGCUAACAUUGAAACUGUAGCCACCAAUAUUCGCUUUUGAACUUCUAUCAUUGUCGCGCGUGUCUCGCUCCUUUCCAAACCUGGACGACGAACCCGAAUCUCUAUCCCUUGUUCUAGAAUUGUACCUUGGGUUCUCUUGUUUUGAACGUGAAUCCCUUCCUGCUGGUCCCAUGUAAGGUUCGUACCUAUUUUUACCGGACCUUUUUUCAGUUUCUGGUCACCUCGAACUUACACUUUCAUCUCCCCAGGACUAAGUAAUAGUAUCUUCUUCUAUCCACAGCUUCGUGCUAUACCUGUUGUAAACAUCAUCCCAAGUUGUUACCGGGAAUUCUCGUAAGCUUUCUUUGAGUCUCCUCGUGGCUUCUAAGCUUUUUGCAUUUAGAUUACUUGCAAAUGCCAUAGCCGCCCAAUUGUCAGGUACACAUGGUAACAUCAUUCUUUCAUGCUGGAAUCUAUCUACGAAUUCUCUGAGUAGCUCUGUAUCUCCUUGUUUUAUUUUGAAGAUGUCUUCCAUCCUCUUUUCAAUUUUUUGAGCUCCCGGGUGUGCUUUUAUAAAUGAAUCUGCAAGCUCAAUAAAAGAAUUAAUGGAAUUUUCAGGUAAAAGAGAAUACCAUGUUAGUGCUCCCUUUGUGAGUGUUUCACCAAAUUUUUUGACCAGCGCUGAUUCAAUCUCUUGCUUAUUCAAGUCAUUGCCCUUCACGCCAGUUGUAAAUGCAGUUACAUGAUCUCGUGGAUCGGUUGUUCCAUCAUACUUUGGGAUAUCGGGCAUCUUAAACUUUUUUUUUGGAAUAGGCAAAGGAGCGACACUUGGCUUCCAGGGUUGUUGAGAAUAUUUAUCCAUAUCCACUCCUUUGAUUAUAGGUGGAACACCUGGUAUCUGCUAUAUGCGAUCGUUCUGAUCCUUGAGUUGUUUCUGCAAAGUUAGUACUAAACUUUGUAAAUCAGAAUUAACUAGGAUACCUGACCCUCCAUCGCGAGAUUCGCUGGGAGUUCCUCAGCUGCUGAAUUAGUGAGUCCAGAACGUGGAUUCUCUAUGGUUGCGAUGUUGUUUGGAGGUGGAGUUGGUGGUACAGUUGGUAAUCCGCUAACGAAAGCUUGAAAAACAUUGUUCACAUGUUCUACAAUUAGUUGCUUUAAUGCAUCAUCAACAUUUUGAUCGCCCCCUUGUUGAUUAUUUACAUGCGAUGUUGAUCUAUCAGGUGAGUUGUCUUGGGAGUGUCGAGGAGAAUUUUGAGGUGAAGGGAUUGGGGUGGCAUUCUCUUGUUCAUUCUGUUGGUUUAGUUGGUCUUGCUGGUUUUGUUGGUUUUGUAGGUUUUAUUGGUUGUUGUCGUUAGCGUUCGUCAUGAUUUUUUGACAGUAAAAUGAAUUUGGAAAGUGAAAUGAUUAUCAGAUUUUCGGUAACGGAACCAAUUUGUUUAACCAAAAAUUAGAAAUUUCGGUCAAAGCCUAUUUUUAGAAGUACUCGGAAUACUGAUAAUUAAGAAAAUUAGUAUUCUUGCAAUAAGAAAGGAAAUUGGAAUAUGAAAUAGCAAAGUAAUCAAUAGAAACAAAAAUAAAUAAUUAUAUUCUAAUAAUAAUCAGAACAUGUCCAUACAGAUGACAUUUCCUUCCCUUAUAUAGUAGCCUCUAAGUACAACGUCUUUUCCCCUUUUAUGACUGAGUCAUUAUGAGUAUUAAUGACAUUAAUGAAGCGUUAUAAUUGGUAAUCGUAACUGUUUCGUUAAGAUUCUGUAACAUUUGUAAUCAUCCAUGCUCAUUAAUUGGAGAUAAAUGAAUCUUUCCUUUUUACUGUCUCGAUUCAUUCCACCGGUACCUCUUCAUGUAACUGUUUAAACUUGAACGACCAUAUCUUCUCCUCUUGUGGGUGAUUUGCUCGUAUCUGUUAUGACUCGUGCCUCUUUUUAUGCAUUUCUCCAGCUGUCGCUUUCUCGAUGAUCCACGUGUCUUGUCUUACCAGCCAUUUACAUAAAUCCACGUGUAAUGUUUAUUUUUACCAAUACACCGUAUCCAUACUAGGAUCCGUAUGCCCGAAUCUUAGAAUUUAUAUCUCGAAGGAUCCGACCUCUAGAUCCGCACCCAUGUCGGACACCCGCAUCCGAGCAACUUAGGCUACCAUCAUGCAACCACAAUCACAACCACCAUCAUUAACUACCUCCGCUAAUCACUAGCAGUGGCGGAUCCAUAUGAAUACUUAUGGGUGCUCAAGCACCUAUUACUUUUGACCAAAUUUAGUAAAUUUGAAUAGAUAAUUAUAAAAAUAUUUAAACAAAUAUUGAGUAAGCAACCACAGCUAAAUUUAUUUUUCUCUUCUUUCGGAAUAUUUAUCACAAGCAUCCAUGAUUUUAAAAUUCUAGACCCGUCACUGACCACUAGGAUCAACUUCUACUGUACAAUCACAAAUCAUAUCCACCUCCAUCACUAGCCUUUCCAUUGCCAUCACCCGUCGACAUUUCCGCAUAAUCACCACUAAUCAUUACUGCACAACCAUCAACACUAACCAUCUUCUGUAACCACAACAACCAUCAAUCACCACUCUACAAUUAUUGCAAUCAACUCUCACUACCGUCAGCUAUUAUUAUUGUAACUUUAAAAUGUGUUUAAAAAUAGUUUUUAUAACACUAACAAAAAAAUCAAUUUUUUAUUAGAAAUAUUUAAUUAUUACUUCAUUUGAAUUAUAUUUUCACUGAGCUAUACGAAUCUGAAGCUGGUGCAGAUAAAAGUUAAUAGACGAGACAGGAACACGAUAAUAGAUUAAGAUAUGAAUCUAUAUCUAUAUCUAUACUACUAUAAAAGUGAGAAGCCCUAAACUUAAAAGUUGAAUUACUAAAAUACCCUUAUGAAUUAAUUACAUAUCUCAAUUAAAAUAAAGUAUCACGUUUAUUUGAAGGGUUGUAAUCUUUCACAUUAAUUACUAAUAUUCACAAUAGCUUUAAACUAACUGUUCCUAUUUUAAAUUUGUUUUCCAACCGUUGCUAAUUUCCUUUUACAAGCAUUCGACUUUUCCUUUCAUAAAUCGCAUAGAUAUAUUUCAAACAAGAAGGAGAAGAGUAGUUCCAAUGUUCGAGUGGUUGAAAGUUUUAUCAAGAAAACAAGGGAUAGUAGUGAAUAAAAGUUUUUAUUAUGAAAAAGUUGACGUCAUUGUGAUUUGUGGAACAAAGGUAAGAAUGGAAAUAUAGACGUAUUCUUGCCUUCUUGGGACAGAAAGAAUUCCAAACAAUUAGUAAGAAUCUACAAUUUCACUUCCUUUUUGUCCAAUUCUGAUACUAUUCUUACAAUAAUAACGUAGUAUCUUUCAUUCUUCAGUUAUAAAUAAGGAGAAGUUUUGUUCUGUAAUUGGUGAAGCAAAAAAAAUUAUAUAAGUAUUUGUUCCACAAUAAAAAUUUCUCUAUUGUUUUUCGCUUUCAUGCUUGCUUUUUAUUUUAGGUAAACAAGAAAUAAUAUAUUGAGCCUAAGUCAUUCAUCAUUAAAUUCAAACACCAACCAUGGUGCGUAUAGGUAAAAGAAUAUAAUCGACACUCGCGGAUAGGUUGUUAUAUCUUAAAUUCAAACACCAAGAAUAUGUUCUAUUAACAAAUAUUUCUAAAAAUUAAUUGACAAGUAGACAAUUUCAAUUAUUAUUUCUUUCUUUGUAUUUAAAAUGAGAAUUUUAGUAAUAACAUUUACCCGUAUGAAAGCAAGUGCGGCUAAAUUUAAUGUAAUGCUUCAAAAGAAGCCUUCUUAUUUAUUUUUAUUUUUUUUUAAAAAAAGUUGUGUCAUUCACAAUAAACAAUAACUACUUAUAUUAAUUGUAUUUAAAAGUUUUUUUUCAUAUUCAAGUUCCAUAGAUAUUAAAUAGCCUAUAAAAUUGUGUUUAAAUGGUAAAAGUUUAUAAAGAAUGAAUGGGAAAUUUUCGUUCCUAUACCAUAUAGGAAAUUAUAUUACCAAAUAUGUUCAUUGUUUGCAUAUUACCCUUCAUGCUAAUAGUAUUCCUACAAAAUAUAGACAAUGCAUUAAAUAAGGAAUCAUUGUAGCUGUAGGAUUCCUUAUUUAGGCACGCUAAAAUUGGGGAAUUAAAUAUUCUUCAAGAUCUUCCACAACGCAGAUCACACAUAUUCAUAAUUAUUGUCGGCUUCACUUUGAUCUUUCACAACACAGAUCAAGAUUUUCCAUACUCUAUUUUUGCGAUACACUCUGUUUCCAGAAUUCUCUCUACAUCUCUCUCUCUCUAUCUCUCAAUCCCAAAUUUCAGUAAUACAAAGCAAAGGAAAAGAGAGCAACACCAUUGACAGCCAUUAAAAAGCUUGAAAGCUUUGAAUUCAAAUUUGAGUUUUCAAAAAUCAUUAUUUAUUUGGAUUGGGUGUUGUUGAAAAUAAUUGAGAAUAUAGUUUGGAGUUUAUAUCUCAAUUUUGAGGGGUUUUGGUGAAGAUUAAACUUGAUUUUGACUGAAUUUCAGAUUGAAACUCGAAGAAGAAGAAGAAGAAGAAGAAGAAGAAGAAGAAGAAGAAAAAGAAGAAGAAGAAGAAGAAGAAGACAUAUAUUGCAGAAAUUGUAGAAAAAUUAUAGAUUGUUGUUUAUUUAUUUUUCUUUUAUUCAUUUACCUAUUGUAUGAAAGUUGAACAACAUUGUAUAAAAAUUGUAUUUAAGUGGAUGAUUUACUACUGUUUUGGACAAAAAUAUGUAUCAAAAAUGUGAAACAUACAUUUCAGGGGAAGCAUGUCGAGUCCAAAUAUGUACCCAGUUUGUAGAUAUUUUGUAGAUAAAUUGUAGAUUAUUUGUAUUCUGAUUAUAGAUGCUUUAUUUUCUGUCUUCACAAAUAAAAAAUGACUAAAACUUCUACAAAUCUUCUGAAAAAACGCAAUUAUGUCAAAAAUCCCAAUUAUGCUACAAUUGAAUGGGAAUUGGGAUAUUAAAAUUCAAUGUACCCUGUUUGUAGAUAUUCUGUAGAUAAAUUAUAGAUUAUUUGUAUUCUGAUUGUAAAUGCUUUGUUUUCUGUUUUCACAAAUCAAAAACGACUAAAACUUCUACAAAUCUUCUGUAAAAAAUGCAAUUAUGUCGAAAAUUUCAAUUAUGCUACAACUGAAUGGGAAUUGAAAUAUUAAAAUUCAAUGUACCCAGUUUGUAGAUAUUUUAUCGAUAAAUUGUAGAUUAUUUGUAUUAUGAUUGUAGAUGCUUUGUUUUCUAUUUUCACAAAUCAAAACGACUAAAACUUCUACAAAUCUUCUGCAAAAAACGCAAUUAUGUCGAAAAUCCCGAUUAUGCUACAAUUCUGUGAUUCUUUUAUAUGCUCUUGUUACUCCUUACGAAACUGCUAUGCUAAAUAUGGAAUCCAAAAAAACAUGCUGAAAGGAUAGAUCUUCCUAAGAAAUUUUGUAGAUAAUUCAUAGAAACAUUGAAAUUCUGUAUUUUCAUAUUAAUUUUUCAAAUGAUAUGUAGUUUUGUUGUAGAUUAAAUGUAGAAAACAAGUCAUUAUAAGUCUUAUUUGACUCAUUCCGCACAUUCAACUUAUUCUAUAAAUUCACGCCUCUUUAAAUACAAUACAACCAUACUUUCUUGAAUUUAAAGGUAUAUCAAUAUAUAUAACUUAAAAAACAUCUUCUCCUCUGCACAAGUUAGCUCCAAAACAGACGAACUAGAAUAACAAGCUCCCAUCAAAACUUUUAACAUAAAAACACAAAGCUCAAAAAUAAAUAAACAACAGACUACAAUUUAUCUACAAUUUCUGCAAUAUAAUGUAUGUCAUGUCUUCUUCUUCUUCUUCUUCUUCGAGUUUCAAUCUGAAAUUCAGCCAAAACCAAGUCUAAUCUUUAGCAAAACCCCUCAAAAUUGAGAUAUAAACUCCAAAUCAUAUUCCCAAUUGUCACACCCUUUUUUUAUACUUCACUUAACCCUCUUAAAAAUAAUAAAAGUGAUUUAGUAAAGCUCAAACAAGGGUUUUUAAUUAAAAAGUGAAAAAACUAUGUUCAAAAGGAAAUAACUCAGAGUCACCAUCUGACUUUGAUUUCGGUGUGCCAGGUCACUGUUUUUUAAAAAAAUGAUCUUUCCUUUUUAGACUCUAAAACCAAGUCCGCACCAGUGAUUCGGGAAAUGGGGUUCAUUUGACCUGGGAAGAAGGUGUUAGGUACUCCCCAAGUCCCGUAAUUAGUACGGUUGCUUAUUUGAUCUAAUUUACUUUUAAAAUAUUCAAUUGAGGUAAAAACAAAAUAAACACACAAGAGGCUAGAGGUCGUCCCCACCUGAAAAGAUAAAAAUAAAUAAAAGAAAAUAUUAAAAUUCUAUUCUACGCUUCCUCACGUCAUCCAAUCUCUAACCUUCAUUUACAUGUACUAUAGGGCAUACCCCGGAUAAAAUAUAUACAAAUCUUUCGGGGCAUUCCCCGGUUAAAUUUAACUAAGGGAACGACCUUUUGCCUCAAAAUUAACGGAAGUCUUAAAGCUUGCCUACCCAAAGGUGGUCGGCUUAAGCAUGCUCCUAGCGAACAAUAUCAUCAAUAAAGAAAAUAAAAGGAACUAAAUAAAAGAACUAAGUGGAAGAACAAUUCAAUUCAUGCUCAUGUUUUGUUUUUAAACUUUUCGUUUUUAUUAGGCCGAGCCUGAUACCUAAAGCAUGGAACAAAUUAAUUGCUAAUGGGCUUUGGCCUUUCUACCACUCCCCACGACCCAAAUUCAAGCACGAACAGUACAAUAAAUACUCAAAAACACAUGAGGGGCAAAAUGAUAUAAAAUAAGAGGGAUAAACUAUAGCUGGUCAGAAUAUGAAAAGAGCCCUUCAAGGUCUAAACAGCACAAACAAAUACUCAAAAAUGCAAGUUCAAAUGAAGACUAGCUAUCAAUUUUGCAUUCUAACAAGGAAACGCAUGACACUCAACAGAAGUUCAAGCCCACUGGCAUCCGAACCAAUAUAGACAUAUAAACUCUAUUUUCAUUAGCAACAACUUCUUUAGUUCAGAAGAACAGGUUAUGAGAAGCAACUCACGCCAAACUUAAUGAAUAGAGGAAUUCGGAUAACGAACUAAUUUUAGAACGGGCAUACUUCACUAACCUACAGCUUGGGACUCCAACCAAUUGAAAAGAUUAUAUAGCAAGAGCCACCUUAAACAGAAUUUAGAACUACCAUGAGGACAACAAAUUAGUUAUUAACUAAAGCCUUUUAUGCGACUAUUUGAUCUAUCAAAAUCCUACACGGGCCUCAAUAAAAAGAUUUGAGCGGCGAACUCUCGAACAUUAAGCAUGGCGGAAUGGAACUAAUAUCUCAUAAUCUCAUGCUAAUUACCCAUUCACAAAUAAAUUCAAGGCAUGGGCUAGCAGUCAAGCAGCAUCGUAUAUAAUUCGUAUACCAACAGAUUGGGUCGACAACAAAUGAACAACCAUCAGAGAAUCUUCAAAAGUCAUUUUUUGUAUUCAAACUCAACCAAACAAAUAAGAACUUCUUAGAACUAGAACCUAAUAAGUGAAUUAAAAUUUUUAUAAGUAGAAAUGGCCUACGAAUGAAUGCAUCUGAUGUUUGAGCUCUAAUGAAAUCUAGCAGACUCGAUCAUUACUAUUGCAAACCAAGAGGACACUGAGUUUACUUGAGAUAUGGUAGCUAAGUUUCAUUAAAAUAACUUGAUGGAUGCUAUGGUGAUUUGCCAAGAAUAUAACACCUUAGGAGGAGGAACGUUUGUCACGCAACAGACAACAACAUAUAUAUAAGCAACACGACACUACAAGAAGCUCAUAAGCGGUGAGUGAUGUUAAAACACUGAAAAAAAUGCAUGAUCAUAUCAUGAAGAAAUCAACAGUUUUUAGAACCAAAAUCAAUAGUGAGAACAAAGAAUUCCAAUGAAAUAACGAAGAACGAACUAUAUUCCUAUUUCUAGCAUCCAAACCAACAUACGAGCAGGACAACGGAACACAACAAUCUACUAAACAGAACAGAGCAGCAUACGAGCAGUACGAGCAGAACAGAAUCGCACGCUAAGAGAAUUCAUCCAACAUGUCCAAACAGAACAGACUGGAAAACACAGACAUUGAAGCAUGAAAAUGAAACAGAACACAAGUAACAGAGUAAGAUCCAAUCUAACUAAAAACACACAUGACAGGGGAGACAAAAAUGAACCUGUUGAAGCUUAAGAUUUCGAUAGAACAGAAGAUUCAGGGUAUACAAAGCUUUUACUCCAAAUUCCAGCAAAAUAACAGCAAUAUCGCGACUAGUAGCAGGACAAAACAGCAACAAAAAUGGAUUUGGAACCACGAACAAGAACCUCACGAGCAGUCAACGGACAUCAGCUAAACUCCAUUCUUGUUAAACAAAUCAGAAGCUAUUAUAUAUUUUUUUUUAUUUUUUGUUUUAAAUAUGAAAGUAAGACUCAAAGAGAACUCUAAAAUGUUAUGCCCAAUCGACUGAAAAUUGGAAGGAAGAAAGUAAAAAACUCAGAAAAACCCUAGCCCUCUUGUUUUCCGAACUCUCUCUUCUCUGAUUUUCUCCUCCUUUUUUUGGUCCAAAAAUCCCAAAUAUAUAGGGAUCCUAGAAGCUUCUUUAUCUUCUCCUCCAAGAAAUUCCGAAAAAAACGAAUCCUUCAAAAUCCCCAAAUCCGUUUGUUGAAGCAAGUAAGGGACAAAUGGAGGGAGUAGAUCGAGCUAGAACUAAAUCCUACGCUCACCAUUCAUCCUCCCUCGCCUUAACUGAUCGUGUGAGCGAAGAGCGCAUGAGAGGGAUGGUAUCUUCAUGUCAGAGGUCGUUAUGGUCUUGAUGACGUGGAAGAAGGAAAGGAGAGGAGGGGGACCAUGAGUUAACUCGUGAGCGAGGCUUUUGGUGGUCUUACCAUGGCUGAAGCGCGGCUGGGAUGGGGUGAAGAGGGGGCGCCGUUUGGGUGGUGUUACAUUAGGGUAGGGUUUGGAAAUAUUAGGUUUUUAUAUUAAGGUGAGGAUAUAUCUUGGCCAUUGGAUGGGAAAUAGAUGAAAGACUAGGAUUAAACCAAAGAGGGAGAUGGGUCAGACGGGUUAUGGGGCGGGUCAUGGGUUGGAUCCGGUCGGGUAUUGGGUUGGUUUGGGUUGUCCGAUUUUGGGCUUCCUUUUGUGUAGAAAUGAGGCUUCAAAUUUGUACUUCUUCAAUUUUUAAAGUUCAUUAAAUAACAAACUCAAUCUUUUAGAUUAAAACUAAAGUAAUUUCGAUUAAUUAAAUAAACUAUAUGAUAAUAUGAAACUAUAUAUAUAUUUUUUAAUAUAUCAUGUUUUAUAUAAAUUAAAAAUAAGAGUGAAAAUCAUAGUAAAAACAAAAGAUAUGGCUAUAAAAUAAAUAGAAAUAAAGUAAAACAUGAAUAUAUAUAUAUAUAUAUAUUUAGUUUUUUGUGCCUUAAAAAUAGAAUUAAAAUUAAUAAUAAAGUAAAAUCCUAUAAAAAUAAACUCAAAUAAAUAUCCUAAAAGUAUUAGGAUUAUUAGAGGUGAUUCUAAUGCGUGGGUCAAAAAUUACAUAUCUACGGCUGCCCCUCUUUGACGGGAAACAUAAAGUGUUUUCAGACAAAGAACCACAAGACAUGUUUUUUGACCCGACCCUUAUUUAAAGAGACAAAAACUAAAGAAAAAAAGAAUGUGACUGAGCCCUGGUAUCUGAGCUGCCUACAUAUUCUUGGUUAUAAAGGAAUCAUGCCACGUGUAGUUCGGAGUGAGAAGAGCGAUGGAGUAUACCGAGGUGGAGAGCCGAGUGAAGUGCCGUCAAGGUUCCGGUCCACGGUUCCUGCCAUUACAUCAAAAGUAAAAGGAAAAAUUACAGCAAAAGUAAAAGAAAAGUACAAGAUCCUAUAUACUUCUUGUCUUGAAUCUUCCUUGAAUCUCUACUUGAUCUUCAAUAUGAAACUAAAAAAUGGACCCAGUUCUCUAGGCGGGCUCCUGAUGCUUCUUAAAUUUGCGAAUUGAAGUAACUCUAAAAUGAACUCCCUUGUUCUCCAGGUGGGUGCCUGAUUGCCAAAAUUUGAAUUGUAUUCCUAUGUUAUCCAGGUGGGCGCCUGAUUGCCAAAACUUGAAAUGCAGCCAAAACUUGAAAUGCAUUCCCUUGUUCUCCAGGUGGGCGCCUGAUUUCCAAAACUUGAAUUGUAUUCCCNNNNNNNNNNNNNNNNNNNNNNNNNNNNNNNNNNNNNNNNNNNNNNNNNNNNNNNNNNNNNNNNNNNNNNNNNNNNNNNNNNNNNNNNNNNNNNNNNNNNNNNNNNNNNNNNNNNNNNNNNNNNNNNNNNNNNNNNNNNNNNNNNNNNNNNNNNNNNNNNNNNNNNNNNNNNNNNNNNNNNNNNNNNNNNNNNNNNNNNNNNNNNNNNNNNNNNNNNNNNNNNNNNNNNNNNNNNNNNNNNNNNNNNNNNNNNNNNNNNNNNNNNNNNNNNNNNNNNNNNNNNNNNNNNNNNNNNNNNNNNNNNNNNNNNNNNNNNNNNNNNNNNNNNNNNNNNNNNNNNNNNNNNNNNNNNNNNNNNNNNNNNNNNNNNNNNNNNNNNNNNNNNNNNNNNNNNNNNNNNNNNNNNNNNNNNNNNNNNNNNNNNNNNNNNNNNNNNNNNNNNNNNNNNNNNNNNNNNNNNNNNNNNNNNNNNNNNNNNNNNNNNNNNNNNNNNNNNNNNNNNNNNNNNNNNNNNNNNNNNNNNNNNNNNNNNNNNNNNNNNNNNNNNNNNNNNNNNNNNNNNNNNNNNNNNNNNNNNNNNNNNNNNNNNNNNNNNNNNNNNNNNNNNNNNNNNNNNNNNNNNNNNNNNNNNNNNNNNNNNNNNNNNNNNNNNNNNNNNNNNNNNNNNNNNNNNNNNNNNNNNNNNNNNNNNNNNNNNNNNNNNNNNNNNNNNNNNNNNNNNNNNNNNNNNNNNNNNNNNNNNNNNNNNNNNNNNNNNNNNNNNNNNNNNNNNNNNNNNNNNNNNNNNNNNNNNNNNNNNNNNNNNNNNNNNNNNNNNNNNNNNNNNNNNNNNNNNNNNNNNNNNNNNNNNNNNNNNNNNNNNNNNNNNNNNNNNNNNNNNNNNNNNNNNNNNNNNNNNNNNNNNNNNNNNNNNNNNNNNNNNNNNNNNNNNNNNNNNNNNNNNNNNNNNNNNNNNNNNNNNNNNNNNNNNNNNNNNNNNNNNNNNNNNNNNNNNNNNNNNNNNNNNNNNNNNAAUUUUAAAUUAAAUCCCAUUAUCCAGAAGGGUCCUGAGAACUUUUAAAAAAUUAAAUCCUAUUAUCUAGGAGGGUCCUGAGAACUUUUAAAAAAAUUAAAUCCCAUUAUCCAGGAGGGUCCUGAAGAGCCGAGAAUGAACUUACCUGAGCCAUGUUCUCGUCUUGGAGGAUUCUGAACAGAAUUUCUUGCCCCUGAACCAUGCCUUUUUCAUAGGAGGUCCCUGUGGAUUGACGAAUUUUCUUGCCCCUGCUUUAGAAAAAUAAAAUCUUGUUAGUUUGAAAACGUGGUGGUUAGUUUGUGGCAUCAGUGCUGAGCGUUUACUUCUGCCACUGCCAUGCUUCAUUCUGAUUAGCUACUUCGGGCCAGCAAGGAGUUGUUUGACCUUUUGGUUGGAACUGGACCACAAAACCACUGAAUGACCUGAAUCUCUCACACUCACUUGUUGUAUUGUGUUUUCAUUUUGAAAGUUGUUGCAUCCUUGUAUUUUCUCAAAAUUCAAGAUUCAAAUGAUUGCAUGAACCUCAGUUAUCACCAUACUUCUCAUUCUAAAUCAUGUCAAUUGUGAUAUGCCUGGCCGAACUCCGCUUUGUGCAAUUUAGAAGCUGGUAGUAGGCUUUGGAAUCCUUUCCUGCUUGUUCAACAAGGCUAACUCGAAAAAGACUCAUAAAGAUAGACUCAAAGAGUACGGUGAAAUGACUUUUGGAAGAAGGAAUCAAAGGAAAAUUUUGAACACGGAUGACUAUGUGAAGAAGAAUGGGAAAAGAAGACUUAUUUGAGUGAAGCGGCUAGCUCCAAUGAUCAUGACAUGCAUUUCGGAUUGAUCAGCCUAAUCCGUCCAACCAAUCAUAUUUCAGUUCAAGUCGUGUCUUCAUACCUCAAAAAUCGGGCUUUCACUGAUCCAAUUCCUCUGUAGAGUCAUGAGUCUCAUUCGACUUGUAGUGCCCUGAAGGGUUUUCACCAACAAGCCUCUCUCAUUUGUUCAUCUCUCAACUCACCAUCGCCUUAUGGUGCCUGCAAGGGUUUUCACCAAUAAGACUCUCUCAUUUUAAAUUUUCUCUCAGCUUACCAUCGCCUUACGGUGCCCGUGAGGGUUUUCACUAAUAAGACUCUCGCAUUUUAAAUUUUCUCUCUUGUGCCCAUGAACAAAGUGUUACCCAUAAUGUAAAUCAUACCUCUAUCUCGCUUGACAUGGCAUCCUCAAAGAUUGAUCGGAAGGUCUUUCUUUGGACUGUAAUGUGGGCUUUUGGACAAUGGUAGAAAGAAAGGGUGGCAUGAAGGCUCAAAAAAAUUUACAAUGAAAAGGGGUCAAAAUUACAACUUUUGGAAUCAGAUCUUUUCAAAACUAAAACUUCUGCCCCAGUUUCUUUGAGUCUGGGGAAUUUUAAUUUUUAUUUUGAUGGGACUGAACCGUAAGGCUGCCUGCGUAUCCUUAAAAGGAAUCAAGUCGAACGUAGUUCAAAAAAAAGUUGUUUGUUUUUGUUCCUUUUUUCUUUUUUUUUCUUUCUUUUCUAUCUCUUUUUUUCUUUUCUUUUUCCUUCUUUUUUUUCAUUUUUCUUAUUUUUCAUUUAUUUUUCAUCAUUUCAUUUUUUUUCUAAUUCUGCUACUGAUUCCAAAAGAGGGAUAUGAAAGAAAAUAAAUAAGGCUCAAAAGGGGGUAGCAAAGGAUGAAAGUAUUUGGGUAGCAGAACAAAAUGCCUUCGUCAUUUCAACUUUGAACAUGUCAAGUACAAAAUACAAUUGAAGGUAAGCAAAGAAAUCAUACAUAGUACCUCUUAAUUGCAUCAGAAUUGAUAGUCAUAUCUACAUAUUUGUAUUCUAUGUCCGUUAAAUACAAAGCACCAUUGGACAACACUCUUGUCACAACGAAUGGCCCCUGCCAGUUUGGGGCGAACUUGCCUUUAGCUUCCACCUGAUGAGGAAGGAUGCAUUUCAAUACCAUCUGGCCCGCUUCGAAUUUCCGAGGACGCACCUUUUUGUUGUAUGCUCUUGCCAUUCUCUUCUGAUACAAUUGACCAUGACAUACUGCAUCCAAUCUUUUCUCAUCAAUCAAACUCAACUGCUCGAGCCGGGUUUUGGCCCACUCAUCAUCAUCAAUUUCAGCUUCUGCAACGAUCCGAAGGGAUGAAAUCUCAACUUCCGCAAGUAUAACUGCCGCAGUUCUAUAUACCAGCAAAUAAGGAGUUGCUCCUACUGAAGUGCGAACAGUAGUGUGAUAACCCAGUAAGGCGAAAGACAACUUUUCAUGCCAUUGCCUAGAACCUUGCACCAUCUUACGAAGUAUCUUCUUUAUGUUCUUGUUAGCAGCCUCAACAGCUCCAUUUGCCUUGGGGCGAUACAGAGUGGAGUUUCGAUGAAUGAUCUUGAACUAUUGGCAUACCUCUUUCAUCAAAUGACUAUUGAGAUUAGCAGCAUUGUCUAUGAUGAUCACCUUAGGAAUUCCGAACCGACAAAGGAUAUUUGCAUGAACAAAAUCCACCACUGCCUUCUUGGUCACAGACUUGAAAGUUGCAGCUUCGACCCACUAGGUAAAGUAAUCAAUGGCCACCAGAAUAAACCUAUGCCCGUUCGAUGUUGCCGGCUCAAUUGGUCCAAUGACAUCCAUGCCCCAAGCAAUAAAGGGCCAAGGUGCAGACAUUGUAUGUAACUCAAAUGGGGGAGAAUGAAUCAAAUCACCGUGUACCUAGCAUUGAUGACAUUUGCGAACAAAACUGAUACAAUCUCGUUCCAUGGUGAGCCAAUAAUAACCUGCUCGAAGUAUCUUCUUUGCCAACACGUGCCCAUUCAUAUGCGGCCCGCAAACUCCAAAAUACACUUCGGCCAUGAUAGUUGAAGCUUCUUUAGCAUCUAUACACCUCAACAGUCCUAAAUCUGGAGUCCUCUUGUAUAAGAUUCCUCCACUCAAGAAAAAUCCACUAGCCAGGAGUCGAAUGGUUCUCUUUUGGUCACUUGUAGCAUGUAUUGGAUAUACCCCCAACCUGAUGUAUUCCUUGAUAUCAUGGAACCAAGGUUCGCCAUCGAUUUCCUCUUCCACCAUAUUACAAUAAGCAUGUUUAUCACAAAUAUGCACGGGGUCGAUAUAAGCCUUGUUCGGAUGAUGUAACAUUGAUGCCAAAGUAGCCAAGGCAUCAACAAUCUCAUUAUGAAUCCUGGGAAUAUAUCUGAAUUUUACCGACCUGAAUCAUUGACAAAGAUCAUGCGGACACUGUCGAUACGGUAUAAGCUUCAGGUCCCGCGUCACCCAUUCUCCUUGAAUUUGAUGAACCAACAAAUCUGAAUCUCCCAGAACUAGUAUUUCCUAGACUCCCAUGUCUACAACUAACCUCAAACCCAGAAUGCAUGCUUCGUACUUGGCCAUGUUGUUGGUUCAAUGAAAUCGAAGCUGGGCUGUUAUAGGGUAGUGUUGCCCUAUUUCAGAGAUAAGUACAGCCCCUAUUUUGAGAUCUUUCAUUUUAGCAACUCCAUUAAAGAAGAGUUUCCAACCUGGCUUUUCAUCACGGUCAACCUCGUCAACACACAUGACCUCUUCAUCAGGAAAAUAAGUCUUCAGUGGUUUAUAUUCAUCAUCCACCGGAUUCUCGGCCAAGUGGUCGGCCAAGGCUUGGGCUUUCAUCGCGGUCCGAGUCACAUAGAUGAUGUCAAACUUUGUAAGUAAAAUCUGCCACUUUGCAAGUCUUCCCGUGGGCAUAGACUUCUGAAAGAUAUACUUUAGAGGAUUCAUGCGAGAAAUGAGAUAAGUCAUGUAGGACAACAUAUAAUGCUUCAACUUUUGUGUCACCCAAAUCAGGGCGCAACAUGUCCUCUCAAGCAGAGUGUACUUAACCUCAUAGGGAGUGAACUUCUUACUGAGAUAAUAGAUUGCUUGGUCCUUCUUUCCCAUGAUGUCAUGUUGACCUAAUACACAGCCAAAAGAAUUAUCCAAGACUGUCAAAUAGAGAAUCAAAGGUCUUUUAGGCUCUGGUGGGACCAGUACAGGUGGGUUUGACAGGUACCUCUUAAUCUUAUCAAAAGCUUCUUGACACUCGUCAGCCUACUUGAUUGCAACAUUCUUCUUCAGCAGCUUAAAGAUAGGCUCACAGGUUGUCGUGAGCUGAGCAAUAAACCUGCUGAUGUAAUUUAACCUUCCAAGAAGGCUCAUCACCUCUGUUUUGUUCUUUGGCGGUGGUAACUCUUGAAUGGCUUUGAUCUUCGAUGCAUCUAACUCAAUGCCGCAUCUACUAACCACGAAUCCCAGUAGCUUCCCCGACGGGACACCAAAUGCACACUUCGCUGGAUUGAGCUUGAGGUUGUACCUGCGGAGCCUUUGGAAAAACUUCCUCAAGUCCUUGACAUGGUUAGACUGCUUUUUUAACUUUAUGAUCACAUCAUCUACAUAAACCUCAAUCUCCCUGUGUAUCAUGUCAUGAAAUAUGGUGGUCAUCGCCCUCAUAUAAGUUGCCCAAGCAUUUUUCAAACCAAAUGGCAUUACCUGAUGACAAUAUGUUCCCCAUGGCGUGAUGAAUACUGUCUUUUCUGCAUCUUCCUCAUCCAUCAAGAUCUGGUGAUAUCCCGCGUAAUAAUCCACAAAAGACCCAAUUUCAUGUUUGGCACAAUUAUCGAUCAGAAUGUGAAUGUUUGGCAAUGGAAAAUUAUCCUUUGGGCUUGCUUUGUUAAGAUCACGGUAAUCAACACAUACCCUGGUCCUACCAUCCUUCUUUGAUACUGGCACAACAUUAGCUAACCAAGUGGGAUAUCGAGUGACCCGAAUGACCUUUGCAGUAAGUUGCUUUGUGAUUUCUUCUUUGAUCUUCACACUCAUAUCAGUCUUGAACUUUCACAACUUUUGCUUGACAUGAGAGAAUAAUGGAUUCGUGGGCAAUUUAUGAACCACCAGAUCAGUGUUCAGGCCCGGCAUAUCGUCAUAUGACCAUGCAAAGACAUCUUUGUACUCAAACAAUGUUUUGAUUAUUUCAUCCUUAACUUGCAGCUCCAAAUGCACACUUAUCUUGAUUUCCCUAACAUCAUCUGGUCCCCUAAAUUGAUUGCUUCAGUUUCACUCAAAUUAGGCUUUGGUUUUUCUUCAAAUUGUUUUAGCUCUUUACUAAUUUCCUCAAAUUCUGCUUCUUCAUCAUAUUCUAUUUCAUCAUCAUAUUCUACUUCUUGGAUUAUUUUUUAGAAUUUGAUUGGCUUUUUAAGACUCGGUUGAAAAUUCUUCAUGCAUGUCAUGUCAUUGCAACCAGCAUAAAAAGAACUGUACAAAAGAAAAAAGAAUAAAAUAAAACACUAUUAGGAAUAACGGAAAACGGAAAAUUGCAUUUCAUUGAAAAUAAAAGGAUAGAAGGAUUUGAACAUCAAAACAAGCAAAAAAUAAAAAUCUUGAUUACAACUCUGGAAUAACCCAGACAACAGAAAGGAAAACAAAGUAAACUACCAAAACUCCUUCCUAGUGGGGAGAGGAGUAGAUUCCCAAUUGCUAAGCUUCACGUUUGGGCCAACGAGCUGCACAUCUGCUUUACUAGAACCUUCACCAACUUCUACCAUAUUGACAUCAUCGAACAGACUCUGGAACCUCUUGAUUAGCUCUUCAUCAACAUCGACCAUAGGUUUUGGGAUUGAGGAGGUUGGAGGUUUUUCGGCCCCUGGCUUGACAAAAGACUUGGAGAUGUGCGAGACGGGUUUAGAGAGUGACCAUACCUUCUAUUUCAGAUUUUUAACCCUUUUCACGUUCUUCCCUGUGGGCAUGAAUCCCAAACCAAACGUACCAGGAUUCCCACUAGGGCGCACUGGAUGCACUAUACCCUACAGAGAUGAGCCCAGACCCUUGCCCGACACAAAACCAUUCUUCAACAUUUCAUUCACUACCAUAACAGAUGCGGAGGAUAGCUUAGGACCCGGAAUGCAUUUUCCUUCAGGAAUCUUCUCAACGGACAUUGUUUCGAAAGCUUGAUAGACCCAGGGUCCCUUAUCAUCUUCAGCUUCGAUAAACGAAACAAUUGUGUCAUUACAAGCUAACAGGUCCUCAUCAUCGUGCAUAACUAUUUCCUGCCUGUCCCAUUUGAACUUUACCAUUUGGUGGAGAGAAGAUGAGACUGCGUUAGUGUAGACACUUGAUUUUUGACCCUCCCCUGGAAUUUUUACAUUUUUAGCUUAAAUAUUUAAUUUAGAUCUAAUAUAGCUAUUUUGACUAUUUUUACUUUAUUUCGUUGCAAAAGGAAAAAAUACAAAUAUAUAUAUAUAAAUUUUGGUUUAUGUAUUUCUCAUAAACUUGAAAAAAAUACAAAAAUUGCACUUUAUUUUUUGUACUUUAUAUAAUUUCGAAAAUUACCAAAAAAAUACAGUUCUAUUAAUGUUUUGUAGUCAUUUUAAUUUUGAAAAAUACAAAAAAUAUUACUUAAUAUUUUAUCUUUAUAUUAAAAAACGAAAAUUACAAAAAUAGUUUUAUUAAUGUUUUGUAGUUAUUUUAAUCUCGAAAAAAUAUUAAAAAAUAAUAAUAUAGUUUUGUUUUAAAUAAUUAGUCUUAUUUUAGUAGCUACUUUGCUUACAUAAUCAGUUGAGCAACGUCGUGUUCCUAUUUCUCGGAUCCGGGCAAAAGAAUAAUAUUCGGGUUCAAACUACCCGGUUUUAGGCCUAAUUUUCGGACCUAGCCCAUAAUAAUCCGGGUCCACCACACGUGGGGGACAUGCGUGGGGAACACGGACGGAACACCGUACACGGGGAACCCCACCGCGCAUGGGGGACACAAACCUUGGACCCCUACAUACGUGGGGUCCACUUUUCUUGGCCAAAGCUACAAAUGCACGGACUUGGACAUUUUCAAAGGGACCAACGAACGGACUUGAAAAAUUUGGAAAAGAGAGGCACUGUUCAUCUUUCUUCUUCAAAAAGAAGAAGAAAACCAAAACAAAAACCCUACUGCAAAAAAACCUACCAGCCCCUACUCCCUCGACACUACCCGCUACCAGCAAACCACCCAAGCACCACCUCCAUCGACACACCACAAACGACGCCCAGCUCCUCCGAACAUUCACCAUCGUCGUCACCCCUCCGAACUUCCCCACCCCCGUGAAACCACCAUAGUUGCUCCUUCCUCAAGCCAAACGACCCCCCACGCCUCAGCUGCUAUCAAGCAGCAGCUACUGCUGCAUCGUCCAAACACCACCACCCAAACACCUAUCCAAACUACCAGCCCAGCUUCAUCACCCCCGUCGUAACCCAAAAACCAGUCGCGAUGCCCCCCUCACGUCCGAACGACCAUCGCCUUCUUCCUCCAUUAAAUCUGACGAGCACUGCUGCUUCGCCUUCGUCGUCACUGCCCCCAGCUUCACUCCCUCAUCAUCAAACAACCUACCCCCCAGCCAACAAGCCCUGCUGCCCGUCGACCCUACCUCUGUCACCAUUGUUGCGCCGUUCGAGCAGCAGCCAUUGCUGUUGUUGUUCGUGUUCAUCACACUCGUCGACCACUCUCCGAACAACCACCCCUUCUCCUCCAAUCUCCAUCGCAAACAGGCGAUUAUCCAGUCGUCACUCGCGUGCCCAGUGACCGCUGUUUUUUCGCUGUCGUCGCGCAGUCCGUCUGAGGUCGUCGUUGGUAUGUGCUCGUGGCUUCCGGUCUGAUAUCGUUGAGCUUGACAUCGAGGUUCCGUCGUUGGAGAGGUUUCCGACAGUUGUCGGUCCAGUUGGUUGUCGUUCGUGCUUCAAAGUUCAAACAGGUGCAUACGCAUUUCUAAACUUGUGAUAUUUGCUUAAAUGGAAUGAAAUGAUAUGGAUUUCCUAUGCACUGUUUGUGUAUCGGCUUGGUUGAAUUUCUCUUCAUUUUUACCAUGGAUAUUAUUACCAUUUUUUACCAUGGAUAUUAUUACUNNNNNNNNNNNNNNNNNNNNNNNNNNNNNNNNNNNNNNNNNNNNNNNNNNNNNNNNNNNNNNNNNNNNNNNNNNNNNNNNNNNNNNNNNNNNNNNNNNNNNNNNNNNNNNNNNNNNNNNNNNNNNNNNNNNNNNNNNNNNNNNNNNNNNNNNNNNNNNNNNNNNNNNNNNNNNNNNNNNNNNNNNNNNNNNNNNNNNNNNNNNNNNNNNNNNNNNNNNNNNNNNNNNNNNNNNNNNNNNNNNNNNNNNNNNNNNNNNNNNNNNNNNNNNNNNNNNNNNNNNNNNNNNNNNNNNNNNNNNNNNNNNNNNNNNNNNNNNNNNNNNNNNNNNNNNNNNNNNNNNNNNNNNNNNNNNNNNNNNNNNNNNNNNNNNNNNNNNNNNNNNNNNNNNNNNNNNNNNNNNNNNNNNNNNNNNNNNNNNNNNNNNNNNNNNNNNNNNNNNNNNNNNNNNNNNNNNNNNNNNNNNNNNNNNNNNNNNNNNNNNNNNNNNNNNNNNNNNNNNNNNNNNNNNNNNNNNNNNNNNNNNNNNNNNNNNNNNNNNNNNNNNNNNNNNNNNNNNNNNNNNNNNNNNNNNNNNNNNNNNNNNNNNNNNNNNNNNNNNNNNNNNNNNNNNNNNNNNNNNNNNNNNNNNNNNNNNNNNNNNNNNNNNNNNNNNNNNNNNNNNNNNNNNNNNNNNNNNNNNNNNNNNNNNNNNNNNNNNNNNNNNNNNNNNNNNNNNNNNNNNNNNNNNNNNNNNNNNNNNNNNNNNNNNNNNNNNNNNNNNNNNNNNNNNNNNNNNNNNNNNNNNNNNNNNNNNNNNNNNNNNNNNNNNNNNNNNNGUCCAAUGACAUGUUUUAAGCGAUGUUCACAUUCUUAAUAAUAAUAAUUAUGAAAGCGGUAAAAAGUUAAAAUUUGCACAUAAGUUCAUAUUUGUAUAAAAUCAUAUAAUCAAGCCGAAUAUAACAGUUGAGAAACCGUGCUAGAACCACGGAACUCGGGUAUGCCUAACACCUUCUCCCGGGUUAACAGAAUUCCUUAUCCAGAUUUCUGGUACGCAGACUGUAAUAUGGAGUCAUUCUUUUCCUCGAUUCGGGAUUAAAAUUGGUGAAUUGGGACACCCUAAAUUUCCCAAGUGGCGACUCUGAAAUAAAUAAAUAAAUCCCGUUUCGAUUGUCAUUUAAUUGGAAAAAACUCCUUUGCACCCUCGCGGGUGCGUAAAAAGGAGGUGUGACAGUUAGCAGCAUGUAUCCAGGGCCUGCCCAAUAACAAAUUGUAGGAGACAGCCAUAUCUAACACUUGGAAUUCCAUGGUGAACUCAACUAGCCCUAUCGACAAUUCGAGCACUAUAUCUCCAACAGAAUCUUUACCUCCCCCAUCAAAGCCUCGAACACACAUACUGUUCAUGUGGAUUCUUUCAGUGCCAAUCUUCAAUUUUUGCAGAGUAAACAGGGGACAAAUAUUCACACUAGAGCCAUUGUCAACCAAAACCUUUGAGACGACAAAAUCUUCACACUUCACCGUGAGAUAAAGAGCUCGGUUGUGUUUUGUACCCUCCAUAGGAAGUUCAUCAUUUGAGAAAGUGAUCAUGUUUACUUCGAAGAUCUUGCCAGCUAUCUUUCCAGGUGAUUUAAUGUGAUCUUAUCAGGAACAUGUGCCUCAUUCAAAAUCUUCAUCAGGACCCUGCGAUGUUCGUCUGAAUGUAUCAGCAAAGACAAAAGAGAAAUCUAAGAUGGUGUUUUCCUUAACUACUCCACAAUGGAAUAAUCCUGCACUUUCAUCUUUUUAAGGAACUCAUCAACCUCUUCUUCGGCGACCGAUUUCUUUACUGGCAUUUGGCUAUCCUUGAAUGGCUUGGCUUUCCUUAAUCUUCUUCUAGGGUGAAACAUAUCCCAGAACGAGUCAAUAUUCCAGCUUCAUUAGCUUCUUCCUCUAUUUCUUUUCCUUUGUAUGUCACCAUCAGUCAUUUGUAAUUCCACGGAACAGCCUUGGCAUCAACCAUUGGCAACUGGGUCACUGGUUUAAUGAUGAUAGGGGUAAUACGAGCCUCUUUCACAACUAUGACAGGCUUACUUGGAAUCCCUGGCACUACCACUUUUGAGCUUUCUAGACUUUCCCCAAUAUCCUUCGACAGCCCUUUCACGACCAACACCGGCGGCUUCAAAUUGAGCGAGCUCGGCUUUUCUGUCGCCCCUUCAACUAUCAAAGGCUUUGCUUUGGUAGAGUCUGGAGCUUUAACCAAAUUACUUUCACUGGCCCGAAUCAUCAUGACGGACUUAGAAGGCUUCUUGGGCUCCCCAUCCUUGUGAACUAUUUCAAUCAUAUGCGUCUCUGCAUGGGCUGGCAAAGGGUUUUGGUUGAUAUUUGGCGUGUCUGGGCUUUGGACUACGAUUUGGUUUGUAUCAAUGAGAUCCUGGAUUGCCGUUUUCAAAUACCUGCACUUCUCUAUGUCAUGCCCUGGAGCAUCAGAAUAAUAGACACAUCUUAGGGAAUAAUCGAGGUUCUUUGGAGGGGGAUUUGAUAUCUUUGACUCAAUCGGCCUCAGGACAUCCAACUGCCUUAACCUUGAAACAGACUAGCAUAGGACUCCCCAAGCGGGGUAAAAGUUUGUUUCUGUUGUUGCCUCUCUCUUCUAUACUCUGGCCUUGGUUGAAAAUUUGAACCAUUGGGAUUUUGGUAGGGUUGCGAAGGUGGAUAGGUGUUUUGUAGAGCUGGGUAGAUAUUCUGUGGGGCUGGGGCACGCCAUUGUGGGUAAGGAGGGGGUUGAGCAUAUGACUAUGCAUGAUGAACAAGGUAUUGGGAUGGCCUAGCUGAGUAUUAGGGGUUUUGCGGGGAAAAGUAAUAUUGUGGUGGAUUAUAUGGAGCUUGGGCAUAGGUUUGAGGUCAGGGUCGAGGAUGGGUGUACUGAUGAGGUGAACCCCUUUGGCCAUGCCAUGGUCUAGAGACAACCAUGGCAACAUCGUCCUUCUUCUUCUUGCCUAACAAACUCCCGGUACCACUCUGGAUUGCCUGGGUGGUUGCUUUUAUAGCAGAAUAGCUCAUGAUCUUGCUCGACUUGAGCCCCUCUUCCACCAUUUCUCCCAUCUUUACCACAUCAUUGAAAGACUUACCAAUGGCUGACAUCAAAUGGCCAUAGUAAGUGGGCUCCAAGGCUUAAAGAAAGUAUUCAACCAUCUCGUCUUCUUCCAUCGGAGGAUUGACUCGUGCAGCUUGCUCCCUCCAUCGGAACCCAUAUUCUCUAAAUCUUUCACCGGGUUCCACCUUGGUCAAAGAUAGGCGGUCUAGAACAAUGUCUAUAUUGUACUGAAAGUGCCAGGCGAAGGCUUGAGCCAUAUCGUCCCAGAUGUACCACCUGCUAGUGUCCUGGCGGGUGUACCAUUCUAAAGCUGCCUCACUCAGACUUUGGCUGAAGUAUGCCAUCAGUAAUUCAUAUUUUCCCCCGGCGCCUCUCAUUUUACUACAAUAACCCCUCAGAUGAGCUACAUGAUCCCCAUGUUCGUCGUACAAGUCAAACUUGGGCAUCUUGAACCCGGCAGGCAGUUAGACAUCAGGGAACAAACACAAAUCCUUAUAGGCCACACUCGCCUGGUUUACCAACCCUUGCAUAUUUCUCAAUGAUUUCUCUAGACUCUUUACCUUCCUAAACAUCUCCUCUUGCUCUACGUUCUUGGGUGGUUUGUCAGUUUCAACAUGAGGCUCAAAUUGGGAGGUGUAAGAGUAAGGAUCUGGGACUUUGAAUGUGGUCUCCAAUGCAUAGUAGUGGGCAUCGGGAGCGGGGAAUGCGGGCUCACUAGAGGAUCGGUGGAGGGUAGCUGGUGGAGGGGGUACAAAAAUAGGAGCAGAUGUCAGAGCAAGGUACGAGGUUGUUUUGGCUGGUGGAGCAUGAAAGGUUUGGGCCGAAGUGCCGGGGUAGUUGUGGUAAGGGGUAAAUCCAUGUGCGUGUUAUGGGGAAAGAUCAAUGGUAUUGGGCAUCUGGGAUUGAGAGAGUAGUGGCAUGGAAGCAGGGUUUUCUGUGUAGUUGGUGGGGAACGAGGGUGGAGGGUGUCCCUUAAUCCAGGCCUGAUACAUUUCCGCCAUCUGAUGUUUCAGCCUUCAGACAUCCUCUUGCAGUUCUGAUUCCGACUCAACAAUCUCCCUUGGUGGGUCUACAACUCUAGUGUCUGUUUCCUUGCUAGCCAUGAUUGUUUGAUGCUUUGAUCAGGUGUUGUAUGGAUGACUUGCCAGGAUGCCAACAAACUAACCACCUUCAUGUUAUUAAAUAAAGAUGACAAAGGACAACAACACAAAACCACCAUGUUAGCAUUAGGGAAUUUAUCAAAUAAUAAUAUCACAUUACGUGCAAUGCACCUAGCAACAAUUAGCGGUUCUAAAAUGGCUUUGAGGGUCGCAAGAUCAUAUGGUAUCAUCCCAAUUUGCUCAGUUCCAUCCUUCAUUCUCUUUCUUUUCCAACACCUCUUAUCACUCUUUUCUCUUUUUUAUUUCUUUUUUUCUCUUUUUUUUUCUUUUUUUCUUUUGCAAAAUGAUUUGAUCGAACCAGAUGUAGGUUGCUUAUGUAUCAUGUCCCUUAUGAAUCAAACCGAGCGUAGUUCUGGAAAAGUGAUGGAAAAUAAACUAGAAAUAAAAUAUUUUUGGGAUUUUUCAUUUAAAAACUUUUCGAUAUUAAAAUACAUUAGGAAGUACGAUAAUGCAAGACAUGACAGACUCAACUAUACUACGACAGACUUUGAAACUACCUAAAGGACUCAGUAUUUCUAGACAAGACACGAAAGUAAAAGACAACAUAAGACAAUGUCAAAACACCUAAAUAGAAUGACCCCUCAAGCUGCUCCUGAAUGCGACGGUCCUGGCUAGGAUGGUCCUGGGCUGUCCGUCAUGUUCAAACCCUGUAACAUGCCUCGUAAAGAAACACCGAUGCUGGGAAUAAAGGCCUUGGCGUGUGCCCCCACAUCCUGAAGGCCAACCUUAAACAAAUACUGGCUAUGCUGCUCCACGUUUGCUGCCAAUCCCGCUAACUGAGACUUUAUCAACUCAAGCUUAUCCCAAGGAUCUUGGUCUGAUGCCUCCUCAAAUCAUCUGUCUGAACUGCUCGACCCCUAAGUUGUGCUGGCAAUGGGGUGCUGACCCUUGGUGGGACGGACUGUAACCAAAUCAGGUACUCCUGAGUACACUCGGGCCUGUCAACGUCCUCUACUAAUGUAUUUUUCUUCAUCCUCUUUGCAUUGUUCCAGUAUUGCACGUACUUGAUUUCGUCAUCCGCCUUUUUGCUCGAUACAACUCUGCUAAGAUCAUUGGCACAACGGUAAGGGUUUUUUGUUGCUUCUCAUGAAAUAGUGCCAUUACCACUGACUGCAGACGGGUGCUAAUGUGCCUCUCAUCUAAUGGAAAAACCAAUAAUCCCAACAAAGCAAGGCUGAAAGCUUCGAGGCGACGUCUUUGCCACUUUGCCUUGGUUGUGCAGAACUCAUCCCAAAAGACGUCAAAACUAUCAUGUGGUCCAAAUCUAGCAAACAAAUAAUCCAAGGAUAUCCAGGACUGCUCGAGGCAUUUUAAAUGCUUGUUAUCUUUCAGUCCCAGGUCACUGAGGAAUCUUGUCCUAGAAUGGUCUCGGAGAAGUAUCAUGUCCUUGCCUAUAUAGCUUAAACGAGUGAGACCAGACAUUUCUGCCAAGGUAGGGGUCAUCUCACACUCUCCAAAUCUGAAAAUCAAAUUUUGCGGAUCCCAAUAAGUCAGCACCGCCUCCACUAAGUCUGGGCGAGGUGUGAUAUCAAGAAGGGAAGUGAGGGUGCCCAAUUUCUGCAUUAACUCAUGCUGCUCUAACAACGAAAACGUUUUCCACCACUUGAUUAAUUUCCUAGGAAUCUUUACUACCAUCAACACUUUGGAUCGAAUUAGCGGGUCCAUACCUGAAUGAAGAAAACAUGGUUAGCGACUUGGGACACUACGUGACACCACAACGUUUCCUAGUGGACAAAUGUAAGACACGAUUUGGCUAUAUUUUGCAAAAUGGUCUAAGUGGCUGAAAGUGGCUAUUAGUGCAAACUUGACAAAGUUGACCCCUAAUGCAUGAAAAAUACUCCAUUUAAAGCUUACAUGACUCCAACAUCCCAACUAUCAUGGCCUUAAAAAAUACUUUGCGGAAAUGGCCCAUUUUGCAAAAAUGGCCGAUAUGGCCAAAUGUGGCUAGGGACGCAAACAUGACAUGGAUGGAUCUUAAAGUGAUAUGACACCGAGUUGUAAACUCAAGAUCCUAAAACAUGGAUAAUUGAACCACUUUUGCAAAAAUACCCUAUUUUGUAAGAUGACCGAUGUUGCCAAAAGUGGCUAGACACACAAAUUUAACAGGAAUAGACCUUAGAAUCGAGAGGAAACUUUAUUGUAGACUCAGGGCUCUAAGACAGGAGAUAACAAACUACUUUGAGAAAAUACUCCUAUUUUUGCAAAAACGACCGAUGUGGCCAAAUAUGACUAUACAUGCAAGAUUUGGCUACGACCAAGAACCUAGGACCUACUUGGAAGACCGGACCCUAUGUGGGUUGCCUACGUAUCUUGCCCCGGAAGACGAGAAUCAGGUUCACGUAGUUCGGGAAGAUUGGAUAUGUGAGAAAGCUUAAAAUGACACUAAUUUGGAAAAUAUAUUUUUUUGUCUUUUGAAAAAUGAUGAAAAAUGUAAAAUCUUUUUGGAUUUUCUUUUUCUCAUUUUUUGGAUUUUUGGAAAAUAAUGGAAAAAUGUAAAAUCUUUUUGGAUUUUCUUUUUCAUUUUUUUCUUUUGGUUUUUUUCUCGAAAAAGUUGUGAAAGAAAAUAUAAUCGGGCCCUACUUGCUUCAUUUUUCACCCUUCUAUCCAAAACGUCGGUCCGCCAAAUGACCUUUCUACCCUCACAGAUGCAAUAUUUAGCACAUAGGAUGAUUAAAUGUCAUUUUGGGCCACGGGCCCAUUUUUGACAUAAUUUGGAUAGGCCUCCUACAAUGGGACACGAUACCUGGGAUGAGCCCUGCUAGGUUUAAAUGACAUGAUGCAAAUAAGAAUGACCUAAAGGCUGACCUAAGUUUGGAGUUCACUAACAAGGUAAUUCGGGGGAGCGUAUGGUCGAAGAGUUCGUGUACGUGAUGCGUACUCCGAGACUUAUUGCAGAAAGAAUUGACCAGGUAAUGCAUAUGAUGACAGUUAUAAAGCAGUAAUACAUAAAGGAAAAACUAUAAACACAUAAAACAACUAGCAAAUAAAGCGAUAUAAGCAAAAAUAAAUCAAAUAAAGAAAACAUAAAAAAAACCUCAAUCGAAUAUUCUAAAAAGCCAACAAAAUCAAGUACUAGCUCGAACCUGCAACUCCCCAGUAGAGUCGCCAGAGAUGUCACACCCCCUUUUUUUAAACGUCACUUAACCCUCUUAAAAAUAAUAAAAGUGAUUUAGUAAAGCUCAAACAAGGGUUUUUAAUUAAAAAGUGACAAAAUUGUGUUCAAAAGGAAAUAGCUCAGAUUCGCCACCUGACUUUGAUUUCGGUGUACCAGGUCACCGUUUUUAAAAAAAAUUCCUUUUUAAACAUUUUAGACUCUAAAACCAAGUCCGCACCAGUGAUUCGGGAAAGGGGGUUCGUUUGACCUGGGAAGAAGGUGUUAGGCACUCCCCAAGUCCCGUAAUUAGUACGGUUUCUUACUUGAUCUAAUUUACUUUUAAAAUAUUCAAUUGAGGUAAAAACACAAAAAAAAAAAUAAACACACAAGAGGCUAGAGGUCGUCCCCGCCUAAAAAGAUAAAAAUAAAUAAAAGAAAAUAUUAAAAUUCUAUUCUACGCUUCCUCACGUCAUCCAAUCUCUAAUCUUCAUUUACAUGUACUAUGGGGCAUACCCCGGAUAAAAUAUAUACAAAUCUUUCGGGGCAUUCCCCGGUUAAAUUUAACUAAGGGAACGACCUCUUGCCUCAAAAUUAACGGAAGUCUUAAAGCUUGUCUACCCAAAGGUGGUCGGCCUAAGCAUGCUCCUAGCGAACAAUAUCAUCAAUAAAGAAAAUAAAAGGAACUAAAUAAAGAAACUAAGUGGAAGAACAAUUCAAUUCAUGCUCAUGUUUUGUUUUUAAAAUUUUCUUUUUUAUUAGGCCGAGCCUGAUACCUAAAGCAUGGAACAAAUUAAUUGCUAAUGGGCUUUGGCCUUUCUACCACUCCCCACGACCCAAAUUCAAGCACGAACAGUACAAACAAAUACUCAAAAACACAUGAGGGGCAAAAUGAUAUAAAAUAGGAGGGAUAAACUACAGCUGGUCAGAAUAUGAAAAGAGCCCUUGAAGGUCUAAACAACACAAACAAAUACUCAAAAAUGCAAGUUCAAAUAAAGACUAGCUAUCAAUUUUGCAUUCUAACAAGGAAACGCAUGACACUCAACAGAAGUUCAAGCCCACUGGCAACCGAACCAAUAUAGACAUAUAAACUCUAUUAUUAUUAGUAACAACUUCUUUAAGAUCAGAAGAACAGCUUAUGAGAAACAACUCACGCCGAACUUAAUGAAUAGAGGAAUUCGGAUAACGAACUAAUUUUAGAAUGGGCAUACUUCACUAACCUACAGCUUGGGACUCCAACCAAAUGAGAAGAUUAUAUAGCAAGAGCCACCUUAAACAGAAUUUUAAACUACCAUGAGGACAACAAAUUAGUUAUUAACUAAAGCUUUUUAUGCGACUAUUUGAUCUUGCAAAAUCCUACACGGGCCUCAAUAGAAAGCAUUUGAGCGGCCAACUCUCGAACAUUAAGCAUGGCGGAAAGGAACUAACAUCUCAUAAUCUCAUGCUAAUUACCCAUUCACAAAUAAAUCCAAGGCAUGGGCUAACAGUCAAGCAACAUCGUAUAUAAUACGUAUACCAACAGAUUGUGUCGACAACAAAUGAACAACCAUCAGAGAGGCUUCAAAAAUUAUUUUUUGUAUUCAAACUCAACCAAACAAAUAAGAACUUCUUAUAACUAGAACCUAAUAAGCAAAUUAAAACUUUUAUAAGUAGAAAUGGCCUACGAAUGAAAGCAUCUGAUGUUUGAUCUCUAAUGAAAUCUAGCAGACUCAAUCAUUACUAUUGCAAACCAAGAGGACACUGAGUUUACUUGAGAUCUGGUAGCUAAGUUUCAUUAAAAUACCUUGAUGGAUGCUAUGGUGAUUUGCCAAGAAUAUAACACCUUAGGAGGAGCAACGUUUGUCACGCAACAGACAACAACAUAUAUAUAAGCAACACGACACUACAAGAAGCUCAUAUGCGGUGAGUGAUGUUAAAACACUAAAAAAAUGCUUGAUCAAAUCAUGAAGAAAUCAACAGUUUUUAGAACCAAAAUCAAUAGUGAGAACAAAGAAUUCCAAUGAAAUAGCGAAAACGAACUAUAUUCCUAUUUCUAGCAUCCAAACCAACAUACGAGCAGGACAACGGAACACAACAAUCUACUAAACAGAACAGAGCAGCAUACGAGCAGUACGAGCAGAACAGAAUCGCACGCUAAGAGAAUUCAUCCAACAUGUCCAAACAGAACAGACUGAAAAACACAGACAUUAAAGCAUGAAAAUGAAACAGAACACAAGUAACAGAGUAAGAUCCAAUCUAACUAAAAUCACACAUGACAGGGGAGACAAAAAUGAACCUGUUGAAGCUUAAGCUUUCGGUAGAACAGAAGAUUCAGGGUAUACAAAGCUUUUACUCCAAAUUCCAGCAAACUAACAGCAAUAUCGCGACUAGUAGCAGGAUAAAACAACAACAAAAAUGGAUUUGGAACCACGAACAAGAACCUCACGAGCAGUCAACGGACAUCAGCUAAACUCCAUUCUUGUUAAACAAAUCAGAAGCUAUUAUAUAUUUUUUUAUUUUCUGUUUCGAAUAUGAAAGAAAGACUCAAAGAGAACUCUAAAAUGUUAUGCUCAAUCGACUGAAAAUUGGAAGGAAGAAAGUAAAAAAUUCAGAAAAACCCUAGCCCUCUCGUUUUCCGAACUCUCUCUUCUCUGAUUUUCUCCUCCCUCUUUUCUGUCCGAAAAUCCCAAAUAUAUAGGGAUCCUAGAAGCUUUUUUUUCUUCUCCUCCAAGAAAUUCCAAAAAAAAAAUCCUUUAAAAUUUCUAAAUCCGUUUGUUGAAGCAAGUAAGGGACAAAUGGAGGGAGUAGAUUGAGCUAAAACUUAAUCCUACGCUCACCAUUCAUCCUCCCUCGCCUUAAACGGAUCGUGUGAGCAAAGAACGCGUGAAAGAGAUGGAAUCUUCUUGUCAGAGGUCGUUAUGGUCUUGAUGACAUGGAAGAAGGAAAGGAGAGGGGGGGGGGGACCAUGAGUUAACUCGUGAGCGAGGUUUUGGUGGUCUUACCAUGGCUGAAGCGCGACUGGGAUGGGGUGAAG
Molecule: long non-coding RNA, 57158 nt
Filed under: Nicotiana tabacum (common tobacco)
Lineage: Eukaryota; Viridiplantae; Streptophyta; Magnoliopsida; Solanales; Solanaceae
Description: long non-coding RNA (NTAB_LNC002594)
Source: RNAcentral